CAUCAGCAUUUCAUUAAUUCGCCCUUGGUCUGUUGUGUUCCAGAAAUGAAUGAUUAGGUGAUUGUGUGUGCUGGUGCAGGUGAUUGUGGGGAGCUUCAUGUACGCGGGGUCGAAGAAGAGCAGGAAGGGUAAGGCCGGGCAGGAGUCUGCUGCAGCGGAGGAAGAACAGACCGGCGAUGCCAACGGGGGCAGGGGCGGAGACGGAGUCGGAGUUGGAGGCGAGGCGGAGGAAGAGGGCCCUUCGCCGCUGAUGCCGAUGCCCCGCGGAGAGGAGGAGCUGCCGUCGGACGCGAUGAUGAGCGGGUGGACGGGCAUGAUGCGGCAGAUGGAGUCGCGGUCCUGCGGCGGCAUCGACAUCAACUCGAUCCGGGAGUGAAGGAUGUAGACUGUUUAAUUAGUUUGGUACGGCGGAAGUUGAGCCUAGGCUAGCUUAGCUAGUGGAUGAUGGAUGGAUGAUUCUAGGGUUUGGUUGGGCUGGUUGUGUUCCUCUCCUGCGUGGGUUUAAAAAGAAGUCUAGUUAGUAUAAUGAAUGUUGUCGUCGACUAUGAUCAGUUUAACCGAUGAUGUUGGCGCCGGUCGGUCGGGCUGAUCUAUGAUGGAAAUAGUGGAUUCGGUUGUUGGUUGAUGGUGUGGUCUGGUAUGGUAUGGUAUGGUAUGAUGUAGUUAUAGGCAGCAGCAAUGAGCAACUUGUUUGUAGCUAGUCUCUUUCUUGGUUGCAGACAGACAGACAGACUUUGACAGUUUUAUUUUCCUUUCUCUUCUUGUGUUUGCAUCCCCUUUGCUUCUUUCUUUUCCUUCUUACUAGCAAAUAUGCUUGUGCGUUGCAACGGGAAAACUAGCAAACAUGCUUGUGCCGUUGUGCGUUGCAAUGGGAAAAUGCAGGGUGUGAAAUUAGGUUCAGAUACAUAAAUAUUCUAGUGGUGCGAUAUCAAUCAUGUCCAACAUGUACCUUCAUGAUCCUAGCUAGCUACUCCAUCCGUUCCGAUUUACUCGUCGUGGUUUUAGUUCAAAUUUGAACUAAAACCACGACGAGAAAGUAAAUCGGAACGGAGGGAGUAGAUAGCAUUGGCACCUUUUUUUUUUACCGUUAAAUAAUAUUUUUCUUUAUCCGCAAAAAAAUAUUCUUUUUCUUUCUCCACCCAUUAUCUCAACCUCAAUUCAAACCCGCCAUCGAAUAAAUGGAAGCAAUAGUCUUCGGUCACCUUACCUGGCACCUGGUGUCUUUGCCUAUUAGUUCUGAAUAUGCAAUAAAGAUUUUCCAUACUACAAGAAUUUAUCAUCAAGCUUGAUGCAUAAAGAAUUUGUCACCUAGAGUUAACAAAAUCUUUUGGUCUCUGACGCCAUGAACCAGAGGAGAGAGCCUUGUGCAUGCUGGUGACGGAAGCAAUGAGCGUCUUGCAGAACAUGCGGGGUGCUUUCACGUCAUCGCUGUCCUCUUUGUUGGGGCGGGGUGCUUCAAUAGUGUCAGUCCCAAAUUUCCUCGUUGUUCCCUUCUAGUCCUACACUCCCACUUCAAGCAUCCACCUUAUUGUAACCAUUAGCAGCACAUACUCCCUCUGUUCCGAUUUACUCUUCGUGGUUUUAGUUCAAAUUUGAACUAAAACGACGACGAGUAAAUCGGAACGGAGGGAGUACUUUUGAUGAUUCAACUGACAUUAACCGCAUCCGCCUUCCUGUAACCAUUACCAGCGCAUAUCUUUGAUGAUUCAACUGACAUUAACCAUGUCAAAUUCAGAUUAGUGCGCCAAUCCCUCCCUCCCCGCCCCAACCAUCAGCGACCCUUUUGUGUUUGGGCAAAUCACUGCCUCUUCUCUCCUAUCGGGUUUGGGAUUGUUUUCACAAGAGUAAUGCACUGAGGAUAAAUACCAUCAGGUAGGUAGUAUCCUUUGUUAUAGUGGUGACCAUUGAUCUCAAUAUUGAACUCUGGGCAGUUGCCUUCUGCAAGCCUUUCAAACACCAGAGAACGCUGAAGCACGUUGAUGUCAUUGUGAGAGCCGGCCGUGCCAAAAAAAGAGUACCAAAUUCAAAGAUCUUGUGAAGCACGGCCUCAAGUAUGACAUUGCAAACUUUCACAUGACCUCUAGACUGCCCCUGCCAAGCAGAUGUGCGGUUCUUCCACUUGCAGUGCUUACAAUCUGUGUGCGACCAAGCAUCCUUGGAAAGCCCCUAUCUGCAUUGAUCGCCAACAACCUGGUGCAACAGUUGGCUCUCUCAAGUACUUCCGGCCAAACACCACUAGCACAAUCUUGCAGAACCUGUACAUGGAUUUGUUGGGGAACGUACCAGAAAUUCAAAAUUUUCCUACGUGUCACCAAGAUCUAUCUAUGGAGAAACCAGCAACGAGGGGAAGGAGAGUGCAUCUACAUACCCUUGUAGAUCGCUAAGCGGAAGCGUUCAAGUGAACGGGGUUGAUGGAGUCGUACUCGUCGUGAUUCAAAUCACCGAUGAUCCUAGUGCCGAACGGACGGCACCUCCGCGUUCAACACACACGUACAGCCCGGUGACGUCUCCCAUGCCUUGAUCCAGCAAGGAGAGAGGGGAGAGGUUGAGGAGGACUCCAUCCAGCAGCAACACAACGGCGUGGUGGUGGUGGAGGAGCGUGGCAAUCCUGCAGGGCUUCGCCAAGCACCUGCGGGAGAGGAGGAGGUGUCACGGGAGGGAGGGAGGUGCCAGGGACUCAGGUGUGGCUUCCCCUCCCUCCCCUCCCUUUAUAUAGGUGCAAGAGAGGGGGGAGGGCGCAGCCUUGCCCCUUCCUCCAAGGAAGGGGUGCGGCCAAGAGGGGGGGAGGAGUCCAUCCUCCCCAAGGCACCUCGGAGGUGCCUUCCCCCCUUUGGACUCUUCCCUCCCCAAGUCUCCUUGGUGCAUGGGCCUCUUGGGGCUGGUGCCCUUGGCCCAUAUGGGCCAAGGCGCACCCCCUACAGCCCAUGUGGCCCCCCGGGGCAGGUGGACCCCCCCGGUGGACCCUCGGACCCCUUUCGGCACUUCCGGUACAAUACCGAUAAUGCGCGAAACUUUUCCGGCGACCAAAAUAAGACUUCAUAUAUAUAAAUCUUUAUCUCUGGACCAUUUCGGAACUCCUCAUGACGUCCGGGAUCUCAUCCGGGACUCCGAACAACAUUCGGUAACCACAUACAAACUUCCUUUAUAACCCUAGCGUCAUCGAACCUUAAGUGUGUAGACCCUACGGGUUCAGGAACCAUGCAGACAUGACCGAGACGUUCUCCGGUCAAUAACCAACAACGGGAUCUGGAUACCCAUGUUGACUCCCACAUGUUCCACGAUGAUCUCAUCGGAUGAACCACGAUGUCAAGGACUCAAUCGAUCCCGUAUACAAUUCCCUUUGUCUAGCGGCAUUGUACUUGCCCGAGAUUUGAUCGUCGAUAUCCCGAUACCUUGUUCAAUCUCGUUACCGGCAAGUCUCUUUACUCGUCCCGUAACACAUCAUCCCGUGAUCAACCCCUUGGUCACAUUGUGCACAUUAUGAUGAUGUCCUACCGAGUGGGCCCAGAGAUACCUCUCCGUCACACGGAGUGACAAAUCCCAGUCUCGAUUCGUGCCAACCCAACAGACACUUUCGGAGAUACCUGUAAUGCACCUUUAUAGCCACCCAGUUAUGUUGUGACGUUUGGUACACCCAAAGCAUUCCUACGGUAUCCGGGAGUUGCACAAUCUCAUGGUCUAAGGAAAUGAUACUUGACAUUUAGAAAAGCUUUAGCAUACGAACUACACGAUCUGUGCUAGGCUUAGGAUUGGGUCUUGUCCAUCACAUCAUUCUCCUAAUGAUGUGAUCCCGUUAUCAAUGACAUCCAAUGUCCAUGGUCAGGAAACCGUAACCAUCUAUUGAUUAACGAGCUAGUCAACUAGAGGCUUACUAGGGACAUGGUGUUGUCUAUGUACCCACACAUGUAUCUGAGUUUCCUAUCAAUACAAUUAUAGCAUGGAUAAUAAACGAUUAUCAUGAACAAGGAAAUAUAAUAAUAACUAAUUUAUUAUUGCCUCUAGGGCAUAUUUCCAACAGUAUCCCACUUGCACUAGAGUCAAUAAUCUAGUUCACAUCGCCAUGUGAUUAACACUCACAGGUCACAUCGCCAUGUGACCAACAUCCGAAGAGUUUACUAGUGUCAUUAAACUAGUUCACAUCAUCAUGUGAUUAAGACUCAAUGAAUUCUGGGGUUUGAUCAUGUUUUGCUUGUGAGAGAGGUUUUAGUCAACGGAUCUGAACCUUUCAGAUCCGUGUGUGCUUUGCAAAUUUCUAGGUCAUAUUAUAAAUGCUGCUUCCACGCUCCAUUUGAAACUAUUCCAAAUGGUUGCUCCACUAUACGUAUCCGGUUUUCUAUUCAGAGUCAUUCGGAUAGGUGUCAAAGCUUGCAUCGACGUAACCCUUUACGCCGAACUCUUUAUCACCUCCAUAAUCGUGAAACAUGUCCUUAUUUACUCCAAGGACAAUUUUGACCGCUGUCCAAUGAUCCCCAUUCCUGGAUCAUUCUUGUACCCCUUGACUGACUCAUGGCAAGGCACACUUCCGGUGCGGUACACAUCAUAGCAUACUAUAGAGCCUACGUCUAAAACAUAGGGGACGACCUUCGUCCUUUCUCUCUUUUCUGCCGUGGUCGAGCUUUAAGUAUUAACUUCAUACCUUACAUCUCAGGCAAGAACUCCUUCUUUGACUGAUCCAUCUUGAACACCUUCAAGAUCAUGUCAAGGUAUGUGCUCAUUUGAAAGUAUCAUUUAGCGUUUUCGAUCUGUUCUCAUAGAUCUUGAUGCUCAAUGUUUAAGCAGCUUAAUCCAGGUUUUCACUUGAAAAACACUUUUCAAAUAACCCUAUAUGCUUUACAGAAAAUUCUUCAUCAUUUCUGAUCAUCAAUAUGUCAACGACAUAUACUCAUCAGAAAUUCUAUAGUGCUCCCACUCACUUCUUUGGAAAUACAAGUUUCUCACAAACUUUGUAUAAACCCAAAAUCUUUGAUCAUUUUAUCAAAGCGUAUAUUCCAACUCCGAGAUUCUUACUCCAGUCCUUAGAAGGAUCGCUGGAGCCAGCAUACCUUUUAGCAUCCUUAGGAUCGACAAAAACUUUCUGAUUGUAUCACAUACAACCUUUCCUUACAAAACUGGUAAGGAAACUCAUUUUGACAUCCAUCUGCCAGAUUUCAUAAAUGUAGCUAAUGCUAACAUGAUUCCGACGGACUUAAGCAUCACUAGGAUGAGAAAAUCUCAUUGUGGUCAACUCCUUGAACUUGUGAAAAACUCUUCGCCACAAGUCGAGCUUCAUAGACGGUGACAUUACCGUCCACGUCCGUCUUCUUCUUAAAGAUCCAUUUAUCUCAAUGGCUUGCCGAUCAAUGGGCAAGUCCACCAAAGUCCAUGCUUUGUUCUGAUACAUGGAUCCUAUCUCGGAUUUCAUGGCUUCUAACCAUUUGUUGGAAUAUGGGCCCACCAUUGCUUCUUCAUAGCUCGCAGGUUCAUUGUUGUCUAGCAACAUGACAUUCAAGACAGGAUCACCGUACCAAUCCGAAGCAGUACGCGUCCUUGUCGUCCUACGAGGUUCGGUAGUGACUUGAUCUGAAGCUUCAUGAUCACUAUCAUAAGCUUCUACUUCAAUUGAUGUAGGUGCCACAGGAACUUCCUGUGCCCUGCUACACACUGGUUGAAGUGAUGGUUCAAUAACCUCAUCAAGUCUCCACCAUCCUCCCACUCAAUUCUUUCGAGAGAAACUUUUCCUCGAGAAAGGACCCGUUUCUAGAAACAAUCCCUAUUGCUUUCGGAUCUGAAUUAGGAGGUAUACCCAACCGUUUUGGGUGUCCUAUGAAGAUGCAUUUUAUCCGCUUUGGGUUCGAGCUUAUCAACCUGAAACUUUUUCACAUAAGCGUCGCAGCCCCAAACCUUUAAGAAACGACAACUUAGGUUUCUCCAAACCAUAGUUCAAAUGGUGUCGUCUCAACAGAAUUACGUGGUGCCCUAUUAAAGUGAGUGCGGUUGUCUCUAAUGCCUAACCCAUGAACGAUAGUGGUAAUUCGAUAAGAGACAUCAUGGUACGCACCAUAUCCAAUAGGGUGCAACUAUGAUGUUCGGACACACCAUCACACUAUGGUGUUCCAGGCGGUAUUAAUUGUGAAACAAUUUCUACGGUGUCUUAAUUGCGUGCCAAAGCUCGUAACUCAGAUACUCAUCUCUAUGAUCAUAUCAUAGACAUUUUAUCCUCUUGUCACAAUGAUCUUUAACUUCACUCUGAAAUUACUUGAACCAUUCAAUUAUUCAGACUUUGUGUUUCAUCAAGUAAAUAUACUCAACAUCUACUCGAAUCAUCUGUGAAGUCAGAACAUAAUGAUAUUCACUGCAUGCCUCAGCACUCAUUGGACUGCACACAUCAAAAUGUGUUACUUCCAACAGGUUGCUACCUUGUUCCAUCUUACUGAAACCGAGGCUUUUCAGUCAUCCUGCCCAUGUGGUAUGAUUUGCAUAUCUCAAGUGAUUCAAAAUCAAGUGAGUCCAAACGAUCCAUCUGCAUGGAGUUUCUUCAUGCAUAUACACCAAUAGACAUGGUUUGCAUGUCUCAAACUUUUCAAAAACGAGUGAGUCCAAAGAUCCAUCAACAUGGAGCUUCUUCAUGCGUUUUAUACCAAUAUGACUUACAUGGCAGUGCCACAAGUACGUGGUACUAUCAUUACUAUCUUAUAUCUUUUGGCAUGAAAAUGUGCAUCACUACGAUCGAGAUUCAAUAAACCAUUCCUUUUAGGUGCUAGACCAUUGAAGGUAUUAUUCAAAUUAACAGAGUAACUAUUAUUCUCCUUAAAUGAAUAACCGUAUUGCGACAGACAUAAUCCAAUCAUGUCUAUGCUCAACGCAAACACCAAAUAACAAUUAUUUAGGUUUAACACCAAUCUCGAUGGUAGAGGGAGCGUGCGAUGCUUGAUCAUAUCAACCUUGGAAACACUUCCAACACGUAUCGUCAGCUCACCUUUAGUUAGUCUCCGUUUAUUCCGUAGCUUUUGUUUCGAGUUACUAACACUUAGCAACCGAACCGGUAUCUAAUACCCUGGUGCUACUAGGAGUACUAGUAAAGUACACAUUAACAUAAUGUAUAUCCAAUAUACUUCUAUCGACCUUGCCAGCCUUCUUAUCUACCAAGUAUCUAGGGUAAUUCUGCUCCAGUGGCUGUUCCCCUUAUUACAGAAGCACUUAGUCUCGGGUUUGGGUUCAACCUUGGGUUUCUUCACUGGAGCAGCAACUGAUUUGCCGUUUCAUGAAGUGUCCCUUCUUGCCCUUGCCCUUCUUGAAACUAGUGGUUUCACCAACCAUCAACAAUUGAUGCUCCUUCUUGAUUUCUACUUUCGCGGUGUCAAACAUCGUGAAUACCUCAAGGAUCAUCAUAUCUAUCCCUGACAUGUUAUAGUUCAUCACGAAGCUCUAGCAGCUUGGUGGCAAUGACUUUUGGAGAAACAUCACUAUCUCAUCUGGAAGAUCAACUCCCACUCGAUUCAAGUGAUUGUUGCACUCAGACAAUCUGAGCACAAGCUCAAUGAUUGAGCUUUUUUCCCUUAGUUUGCAGGCUAAGAAAAUCGUCGGAGGUCUUAGACCUCUUGACGUGGGCACGAGCCUAAAAUCCCAAUUUCAGCCCUCGAAACAUCUCAUAUGUUCCGCGACGUUUCGAAAAACGUCUUUGGUGCCUCAACUCUAAACCGUUUAACUGAACUCUCACGUAGUUAUCAAAACGUGUAUGUCCGAUGUUCGUAACAUCCACAAACUACAUUUGGGGUUCAGCACACUGAGCGGUGCAUUAAGGACAUAAGCUUUCUACUGUCCGCAUAAUCGCUACUGUCAACUUUCAACUAUACUUUUCUAGGAACAUAUCUAAACAGUGGAACUAAAGCACGAGCUUACGACAUAAUUUGCAAAGAUCUUUUGACUAUGUUCAGGAUAAUUAAGUUCAUCUCAUGAACUCCCACUCAGAUAGACAUCCCUCUAGUCAUCUAAGUGAUUACAUGAUCCGAGUCAACUAGGCCGUGUCCGAUCAUCACGUGAGACGGACUAGUCAUCAUCGGUGAACAUCUUCAUGUUGAUCGUAUCUACUAUAUGACUCAUGCUCGACCUUUCGGUCUCUUGUGUUCCGAGGCCAUGUCUGUACAUGCUAGGCUCGUCAAGCUAACCUAAGUGUUCUGCGUGUGUAAAUCUGGCUUACACCCGUUGUAUGUGAACGUAAGAAUCUAUCACACCGAUCAUCACGUGGUGCUUCGAAACGACGAACUUUCGCAACGGUGCACAGUUAGGGGGAACACCUUCUUGAAAUUUUAAUGAGGGAUCAUCUUAUUUACUACCGUCGUUCUAAGCAAAUAAGAUGCAUAAACAUGAUAAACAUCACAUGCAAUCAAAUAUUGACAUGAUAUGGCCAAUAUCAUUUUGCUCCUUUUGAUCUCCAUCUUCGGGGCUCCAUGAUCAUCAUCGUCACCGGCAUGACACCAUGAUCUCCAUCAUCAUGAUCUCCAUCAUCGUGUCUUCAUGAAGUUGUCUCGCCAACUAUUACUUCUACUACUAUGGCUAUCGGUUAGCAAUAAAGUAAAGUAAUUACAUGGCGUUGUAUAAUGACACGCAGGUCAUACAAUAAAUAAAGACAACUCCUAUGGCUCCUGCCGGUUGUCAUACUCAUCGACAUGCAAGUCGUGAUUCCUAUUACAAGAACAUGAUCAAUCUCAUACAUCACAUAUCAUUCAUCACAUUCUUCUUGGCCAUAUCACAUCACAUAGCAUACCCUGCAAAAACAAGUUAGACGUCCUCUAAUUGUUGUUUGCAUGUUUUACGUGGCUGCUAUGGGUUUCUAGCAAGAACGUUUCUUACCUACGCAAAACCACAACGUGAUAUGUCAAUUGCUAUUUACCCUUCAUAAGGACCCUUUUCAUCGCAUCCGAUCCAACUAAAGUGGGAGAGACUGGCACCCGCUAGCCACCUUAUGCACCAAGUGCAUGUCAGUCGGUGGAACCUGUCUCACGUAAGAGUACGUGUAAGGUCGGUCCGGGCCGCUUCAUCCCACAAUACCGUCGAAACAAGAUUGGGCUAGUAACGGCAAGCAUAUUGAACAAAAUCAACGCCCACAACUACUUUGUGUUCUACUCGUGCAAAGAAUCUACGCAAUAGACCUAGCUCAUGAUGCCACUGUUGGGGAAUGUAGCAGAAAUUCAAAAUUUUCCUAUGUGUCACCAAGAUCUAUCGAGAAACCAGCAACGAGGGGAAGGAGAGUGCAUCUACAUACCCUUGUAGAUCGCUAAGCGGAAGCGUUCAAGUGAAUGGGGUUGAUGGAGUCGUACUCGUCGUGAUUCAAAUCACCGAUGAUCCUAGUGCCGAACGGACGGCACCUCCACGUUCAACACACGUACAACCCGGUGACGUCUCCCAUGCCUUGAUCCAGCAAGGAGAGAGGGGGAGGUUGAGGAGGACUCCAUCCAGCAGCAGCACAACGGCGUGGUGGUGGUGGAGGAGCGUGGCAAUCCUGCAGGGCUUCGCCAAGCACCCGCGGGAGAGGAGGAGGUGUCACGGGAGGGAGGGAGGUGCCAGGGACUCAGGUGUGGCUUCCCCUCCCUCCCCUCCCUUUAUAUAGGUGCAAGAGAGGGGGGGAGGGCGCAGCCUUGCCCCUUCCUCCAAGGAAGGGGUGCGGCCAAGAGGGGGGGAGGAGUCCAUCCUCCCCAAGGCACCUCGGAGGUGCCUUCCCCCCUUUGGACUCUUCCCUCCCCAAGUCUCCUUGGCGCAUGGGCCUCUUGGGGCUGGUGCCCUUGGCCCAUAUGGGCCAAGGCGCACCCCCUACAGCCCAUGUGGCCCCCCGGGGAGGUGGACCCCCCCGGUGGACCCCCGGACCCCUUUCGGCACUCCCGAUACAAUACCGAUAAUGCGCGAAACUUUUCCGGCGACCAAAAUAAGACUUCCUAUAUAUAAAUCUUUAUCUCCGGACCAUUCCGGAACUCCUCGUGACGUUCAGGAUCUCAUCCGGGACUCCGAACAACAUUCGGUAACCACAUACAAACUUCCUUUAUAACCCUAGCGUCAUCUAACCUUAAGUGUGUAGACCCUACGGGUUCGGGAACCAUGCAGACAUGACCGAGACGUUCUCCGGUCAAUAACCAACAACGGGAUCUGGAUACCCAUGUUGACUCCCACAUGUUCCACGAUGAUCUCAUCGGAUGAACCACGAUGUCAAGGACUCAAUCGAUCCCGUAUACAAUUCCCUUUGUCUAGCGGCAUUGUACUUGCCCGAGAUUCGAUCGUCGGUAUCCCGAUACCUUGUUCAAUCUCGUUACCGGCAAGUCUCUUUACUCGUCCCGUAACACAUCAUCCCGUGAUCAACCCCUUGGUCACAUUGUGCACAUUAUGAUGAUGUCCUACCGAGUGGGCCCAGAGAUACCUCUCCAUCACACGGAGUGACAAAUCCCAGUCUCGAUUCGUGCCAACCCAACAGACACUUUCGGAGAUACCUGUAAUGCACCUUUAUAGCCACCCUGUUACGUUGUGACGUUUGGUACACCCAAAGCAUUCCUACGGUAUCCGGGAGUUGCACAAUCUCAUGGUCUAAGGAAAUGAUACUUGACAUUUAGAAAAGCUUUAGCAUACGAACUACACGAUCUGUGCUAGGCUUAGGAUUGGGUCUUGUCCAUCACAUCAUUCUCCUAAUGAUGUGAUCCCGUUAUCAAUGACAUCCAAUGUCCAUGGUCAGGAAACCGUAACCAUAUAGUGAUUAACGAGCUAGUCAACUAGAGGCUUACUAGGGACAUGGUGUUGUCUAUGUACCCACACAUGUAUCUGAGUUUCCUAUCAAUACAAUUAUAGCAUGGAUAAUAAACGAUUAUCAUGAACAAGGAAAUAUAAUAAUAACUAAUUUAUUAUUGCCUCUAGGGCAUAUUUCCAACAGGAUUCUAGGCACGUGGCCUCACUCAUGCGGACAUACCCAUCAAUCAGAUCACAUGGUAUUUUGUAUGCAAGCACUGAAUAGCUGCAGUGCAUUUCUGCUAAGAGGAGAAGCCAACCUCUCCCAAGGGCGUCCUCCUUGCAUAUGAAAUAAUCAUCGUAUGCCACAACCCUUCGCGAAUACGAGAACACAUGUCUAGCCAUCUGGAAGCGGCGCCGAAAUAGCUUGUGUUUGAAGAGUGGGGAAGAGGACUUGAAGUAGUCUUCCGCUCUCUCUAUUGUGAUUCAACGCCGGAGCAUGGCCCGAGAUUGAGCCCCUAAAUGUGGUCAUUGGCGACCAAAGUAGCAACCACAAACUCCUCAUCGUCCAACGAUGAAUCAUCCGAAUCGCAAAUGAAGUUGUCGAAAAAGUAUUCGUCUCCACUAUCCAUUUGCACCUUACGGGCGAAACGUCGAACACCUCACGGGCGUGGUUGAAGAAGCCGGCCGGCGAAGAGCCCAGCGCCUCUUCCAGACCAGGCAGCAGGCCUGUCGGCGUGGUGGCGGCCGUGGAGGAGAACGCCGAUUGAGGAAGCCAGGAUUGGAGCGUUGCCAACGGUGCCAGAGGUGAGGGUGGUGGCAUGGUCGUGGGGGGUGGGGGUGGGGGUGCUACGACGGUGGUGAAACUAGGCUUGACUUGCCGGCAAGGUGUGACGCCCGGGUAUUUAGCUACGGUAAUUCCCUGCUAAUGAUGCCACGUUACUUCGGUUACUUUCGCUAAUCUCGUGUUAGUUCGGAACCGAUUCAAAUUCAUAUUCAAAAUCAAGCAAACGAUAAACAUUUUCAAAGGUCAAAACUAAAAUGUUCUUAAUGUGACAAAUAAUUCAUAAGUAAUGUUGGUGGAGAAACCACAUUUUUAUAAAAGGUCUAAAUGCAUUUAAUUAAUUAAAACAGUAGGUAAGACAAAUAAAUAAAUGCCUUGGUAUUUUAUAAAACACUAAACUAUAUUAUUGGGGGGUUAAACCUUUUUGUGGCAGAGGUAUAAUUAGUGUUACUAUUUAAGGUACAACUUUUAUGUUUUAUAAAACUAGAAUAAAAUAAAACAGUAAAAGAAAAAGAACAAAACAGAAAAAAAGACAAAAGAAAUUAAAGNNNNNNNNNNNNNNNNNNNNNNNNNNNNNNNNNNNNNNNNNNNNNNNNNNNNNNNNNNNNNNNNNNNNNNNNNNNNNNNNNNNNNNNNNNNNNNNNNNNNNNNNNNNNNNNNNNNNNNNNNNNNNNNNNNNNNNNNNNNNNNNNNNNNNNNNNNNNNNNNNNNNNNNNNNNNNNNNNNNNNNNNNNNNNNNNNNNNNNNNNNNNNNNNNNNNNNNNNNNNNNNNNNNNNNNNNNNNNNNNNNNNNNNNNNNNNNNNNNNNNNNNNNNNNNNNNNNNNNNNNNNNNNNNNNNNNNNNNNNNNNNNNNNNNNNNNNNNNNNNNNNNNNNNNNNNNNNNNNNNNNNNNNNNNNNNNNNNNNNNNNNNGGGCGCCCCAGCUCGACCCCCUCCUCCCGCACGGCCGCGCCCGACGCAAACCGUUACUCCGCUACGGCUAUCGCAGCCGGCGCCGGCGCUGCCACUCAGGGCCGCCUCUGCGCCCCUCCUCUACCUCGCGCGGCGCCCGCCUGACGCAGCGGCCUCGCCUCGUCCCCGACCCGCCGACGCCGAAGGCCACCCCACGCCACGGCCUCCUCCUCGCGGCUCCCUGCCCUGCUCCGACCACCUCGCAUCGCCGCCUCCUACUUCGACCUGCACGGUCGCCGACCCCGCCUCUGUCGCCCGCUCCUACCGCCCGCGCCUCCCAUGGCUGCACCAGGCCGUGGCCGGCGCCUGCCGGCGCACGUGGGCGCUCUCCUGAAGCUCGCCAUUGCUCCUCCGUGUGCCCCGCCGAUGUUGGUCGCCCUGCCGGACCGCUUCGUCAUCGACGGCCCGCACCUCGUCGACCACCUCUCCGACUCCGGCCACCCCGAGCCUCCAUCGAGCAUGCUGCCCGAAGCCUACGGCCCCAGUGAGCGCCUCCCCCCUUCUCCUCUCGGUCUCCCUCGUGCAGCUCACGCGCCUCAUCGCGCCCGUCGCGUCAACGUCGGGCUCGCUACCUUGUGUAAUGCUGUAGCUGCUGCCGACCGCGGCCUCCCCUGUGUGCGCCCGGCCAUGGACAUAACCCCCCUACUGCCGCGCCGUCGUUCCCCUGCUCUCACUCCACCACGCAUCGCCCUGCCGCCGCAACCUCGCGCCGGCCUACGCCCAUCACCGGUGCCCCCCCCCACACCGUUCGCCUGGGCCAGUGCCCAAUCGGGUUGGGGCUUCACCCGCAGCGCCCGAACCCACUUUGGCCAUGGGCCAAUUGUUGGGGAACGUAGUAAUUUCAAAAAUUUUCCUACGCACACGCAAGAUCAUGGUGAUGGUAUAGCAACGAGAGGGGAGAGUGUUGUCCACGUACCCUCAUAGACCGUAAGCGGAAGCGUUAGCACAACGCGGUUGAUGUAGUCGUACGUCUUCACGAUCCGACCGAUCCAAGCACCGAACGUACGGCACCUCCGAGUUCAGCACACGUUCAACUCGAUGACGAUCCUCGGACUCCGAUCCAGCAAAGUGUCGGGGAUGAGUUCCGUCAGCACGACGGCGUGGUGAUGAUGUUGAUGUUCUACCGUCGCAGGGCUUCGCCUAAGCACCGCUACAAUAUUAUCGAGGUGGACUAUGGUGGUGGGGGGCACCGCACACGGCUAAGGAACGAUCUUGAAGAUCAACUUGUGUGUCCAUGGGGUGCCCCCUGCCCCCGUAUAUAAAGGAGUGGAGGAGGGGAGGGCCGGCCCUCUCUAUGGCGCGCCCUAGGGGAGUCCUACUCCCACCGGGAGUAGGAUUUCCCCUUUCCUAGUCCAACUAGGAACCCUUCCAUGUAGUAGGAGUAGGAGAGAAGGAAAGGGAAGAGAGGAGGAGAAGGAAGGAAGGGUGCGCCCCCCCUCCCUAGUCCAAUUCGGACUAGUCCAAGGGGAGGGGUGCGGCCACUCUUUUGGCCCUUUCUCUCCUUUCCCGUAUGGCCCAAAGAGGCUCAAUACGAAUUCCCGUAACUCUCCGGUACUCCCAAAAAUACCCGAAUCACUCGGAACCUUUCCGAACUCCGAAUAUAGUCGUCCAAUAUAUCGAUCUUUACGUCUCGACCAUUUCGAGACUCCUCGUCAUGUCCCCGAUCUCAUCCGGGACUCCAAACUCCUUCGGUACAUCAAAACUCAUAAACUCAUAAUAAAACUGUCAUCGUAACGUUAAGCGUGCGGACCCUACGGGUUCGAGAACUAUGUAGACAUGACCUAGAACUAUUCUCGGUCAAUAACCAAUAGCGAAACCUGGAUGCCCAUAUUGGCUCCUACAUAUUCUACGAAGAUCUUUAUCGGUCAAACCGCAUAACAACAUACGUUGUUCCCUUUGUCAUCGGUAUGUUACUUGCCCGAGAUUCGAUCGUCGGUAUCCAAUACCUAGUUCAAUCUCAUUACCGGCAAGUCUCUUUACUCGUUCCGUAAUGCAUCAUUCCGUAACUAACUCAUUAGCUACAUUGCUUGCAAGGCUUAUAGUGAUGUGCAUUACCGAGAGGGCCCAGAGAUACCUCUCCGACAAUCGGAGUGACAAAACCUAAUCUCGAAAUACGCCAACCCAACAUGUACCUUUGGAGACACCUGUAGUACUCCUUUAUAAUCACCCAGUUACAUUGUGACGGUUGGUAGCACCCAAAGUGUUCCUCCGGUAAACGGGAGUUGCAUAAUCUCAUAGUUACAGGAACAUGUAUAAGUCAUGAAGAAAGCAAUAGCAACAUACUAAACGAUCAAGUGCCAGGCUAACGGAAUGGGUCAUGUCAAUCACAUCAUUCUUCUAAUGAUGUGAUACCGUUAAUCAAAUGACAACACAUGUCUAUGGUUAGGAAACAUAACCAUCUUUGAUUAAUGAGCUAGUCAAGUAGAGGCAUACUAGUGACGUUAUGUUGGUCUAUGUAUUCACACAUGUAUUACGUUUCCGGUUAAUACAAUUCUAGCAUGAAUAAUAAACAUUUAUCAUGAUAUAAGGAAAUAAAUAAUAACUUUAUUAUUGCCUCUAGGGCAUAUUUCCUUGAGUCUCCCACUUGCACUAGAGUCAAUAAUCUAGUUCACAUCACCAUGUGAUUUAACACCAAUCCAUACCCAUAGUUCACAUCGUCAUGUGACCAACACCCGAAGGGUUUACUAGAGUCAAUAAUCUAGCUCACAUCGAUAUGUGAUUAACACCCAAAGAGUACUAAGGUAUGAUCAUGUUUUGCUCGUGAGAGAAGCUUAGUCAACGGGUCUGUCACAUUCAGAGCCGUAUGUAUUUUGCAAAUAUUCUAUGUCUACAAUGCUCUGCACGGAGCUACUCUAGAUAAUUGCUCCCACUUUCAAUAUGCAUCCAGAUAGAGAUUUAGAGUCAUCUGGAUUAGUGUAAAAAGCUUGCAUCGAUGUAACUCUUUACGACGGGCUCUUUUAUCACCUCCAUAAUCGAGAAAUAUUUCCUUAGUCCUCACUAAGGAUGUUCUUGACCAAUGUCCAGUGAUCUACUCCUAGAUCACUAUUGUACUCCCUUGCCAAAUUCAGAGCAAGGUAUACAAUAGGUCUGGUACAUAGCAUAGCAUACUUUAUAGAACCUAUGGCUGAGGCAUAGGGAAUGACUUUCAUUCUCUUUCUAUCUUCUGCCGUGGUCGGGCUUUGAGUCUUACUCAAUUUCACACCUUGUAACACAGGCAAGAACUCUUUCUUUGACUGUUCCAUUUUGAACCUUUUCAAAAUCUUGACAAGGUAUGUACUUAUUGAAAAACUUAUCAAGCAUCUUGAUCUAUCUCAAUAGAUCUUGAUGCUCAAUAUGUAAGCAGCUUCACCGAGGUCCUUCUUUGAAAAACUCCUUUCAAAUACUCCUUUAUGCUUUGCAGAAUAAUUCUACAUUAUUUCCGAUCAACAAUAUGUCAUUCACAUAUACUUAUCAGAAAUACUGUAGUGCUCCCACUCACUUUCUUGUAAAUACAGUCUUCUCCAAAAGUCUGUAUAAAACCAUAUGCUUUGAUCAACUCAUCAAAGCGUAUAUUCCAACUCCGAGAUGCUUGCACCAGUCCAUUGAUGGAUCGCUGGAGCUUGCACAUUUUGUUAGCUCCUUUAGGAUUGACAAAAAUUUCUGGUUGCAUCAUAUACAACUCUUCUUUAAUAAAUCCAUUAAAGAAUGUAGUUUUGACAUCCAUUUGCCAGAUUUCAUAAAAUGUGGCAAUUGCUAACAUGAUUCGGACAGACUUAAGAAUCGUCACAGUUGAGAAAAUCUCAUUGUAGUCAACACCUUGAACUUGUCGAAAACCUUUUUGUGACAAGUCGAGCUUUGUAGAUAGUAACACUACUAUCAGUGUCCGUCUUCCUCUUGAAGAUCCAUUUAUUUAACAUGGCUUGCUGAUCAUCGAGCAAGUCAAUCAAAGUCCAUACUUUGUUCUCAUACAUGGAUCCUAUCUCAGAUUUCAUGGCCUCAAGCCAUUUCGCGGAAUCUGGGCUCAUCAUCGCUUCCUCAUAGUCCGUAGGUUCAUCAUGUUCUAGUAACAUGACUUCCAGAACACGAUUACCGUACCACUCUGGUGCGGAUUUUACUCUGGAAGACCUACGAGGUUUGGUAGCAACUUGAUCUGAAGUUUCAUGAUCAUCAUCAUUAACUUCCUCACUAAUUGGUGUAGGAAUCACUGGAACUGAUUUCUGUGAUGAACUACUUUCCAAUAAGGGAGAAGGUACAAUUACCUUAUCAAGUUCUACUUUCCUCCCACUCACUUCUUUCGAGAGAAACUUCUUCUCUAGAAAGGAUCCAUCUUAGCAACGAAAAACUUGCCUUCGGAUCUGUGAUAGAAGGUGUACCCAAUAGUUACCUUUUGGUAUUCUAUGAAGACGCACUUCUCCAAUUUGGGUUCGAGCUUAUCAGGUGAAAACUCUUUCACAUAAGCAUUACAACUCCAAACUUUUAAGAAACGACAGCUUAGGUUUACUGUUAAACCAUAGUUCAUAUGGUGUCGUCUCAACGGAUUUAGAUGGUGCCCUAUUAAACGUGAAUGCAGCUGUCUCUAAUGCAUAACCCCAAAACGAUAUUGGUAAAGCGGUAAGAGAGAUCAUUGAUCGCACCAUAUCAAAAUAAAGUACGGUUACGACGUUCGGACACACCAUAACGUUGUGGUGUUCCAGGUGGCGUGAGCUAUGAAACUAUUCCACUUUGUUUUAAUUGAAGACCAAACUCGUAACUCAAAUAUUCAUCUCCAUGAUCAGAUCGCAGAAACUUUAUUUUCUUGUUACGAUGAUUUUCUACUUCACUCUGAAAUUCUUUGAACUUUUCAACUAUUUCAGACUUAUGUUUCAUCAAGAAGAUAUACCCAUAUCUGCUCAAAUCAUCUUGUGAAGGUCAGAAAAUAACGAUACUUGCCACGAGCAUCAACACUCAUUGGAUCGCAUACAUCGGUAUGUAUUAUUUCCAAUAAGUCAGUAUCUCAUUCCAUUGUUCUGAACAACGGAGUUUCAGUCAUCUUGCCCAAAAGGCACGGUUCGCAAGCAUCAAAUGAUUCAUAAUCAAGUGAUUCCAAAAACCCAUCAGCAUGGAGUUUCUUCAUGCGCUUUACACCGAUAUGACCCAAACGGCAGUGCCACAAAUAAGUUGCACUAUCAUUAUUAACUUUGCAUCUUUUAGCAUCAAUAUUAUGAAUAUGUGUAUCACUACGAUCGAGAUCCAACAAACUAUUUUCAUUGGGUGUAUAACCAUUGAAGGUCUUAUUCAUGUAAACAGAAUAACAAUUAUUCUUUAACUUCAAAUGAAUAACCGUAUCGCAAUAAACAUGAUCAAAUCAUAUUCAUGCUCAACGCAAAUGCUAAAUAACAUUUAUUUAGGUUUAACACUAAUCCCGAAAGUAUAGGGAGUGUGUGAUGAUGAUCAUAUCAAUCUUGGAACUACUUCCAACACUCAUCGUCACUUUCCCUCAACUAGUAUAUGUUUAUUAUGUUACUCCUGUUUCGAGUUACUAAUCUUAGCAAUCGAACAAGUAUCAAAUACUCAGGGGCUACUAUAAACACUAGUAAGGCACACAUCAAUAAUCUGUAUAUCAAAUAUACCCUUGUUCACUUUGCCAUCCUUUUUUAUCUACCAAAUAUUCAGGGCAUUUCCGCUUCCAGUGACCAUUUCCUUUGCAGUGUAAGCACUCAGUUUCAGGCUUUGGUUCAGCUUUGGGCUUCUUCGUGGGAGUGACAACUUGCUUGUCAUUCUACUUGAAGUUCCCUUUCUUUCCCUUUGCCCUUUUCUAGAAACUAGUAGUCUUGUUAACCAUCAACACUUGAUGUUUUUCUUGAUUUCUACCUUCGUUGAUUUCAGCAUCACGAAGAGCUUGGGAAUCACUUUCGUCAUCCCUUGCAUAUUAUAGUUCAUCACGAAGUUCUACUAACUUGGUGAUGGUGACUAGAGAAUUCUGUCAAUCACUAUUUUAUCUGGAAGAUUAACUCCCACUUGAUUCAAGCGAUUGUAGUACCCAGACAAUCUGAGCACAUGCUCACUAGUUGAGCGAUUCUCCUCCAUCUUUUAGCUAUAGAACUUGUUGGAGACUUCACAUCUCUCAACUCGGGUAUUUGCUUGAAAUAUUAACUUCAAUUCCUGGAACAUCUUAUAUGGUCCAUGAUGUUCAAAACAUCUUUGAAGUCCCGAUUCUAAGCCGUAAAGCAUGGUCCACUAAACUAUCAAGUAGUCAUCAUAUUGAGCUAGCCAAACGUUCAUAAUGUCGGCAUCUGCUGCUGCAAUAGGUCUGUCACCUAGCGGUGCAUUAAGGACAUAAUUCUUCUAUGCAGCAAUGAGGAUAAACCUCAGAUCACGGAUCCAAUCCGCAUCAUUGCUACUAACAUCUUUCAACACAAUUUUCUCUAGGAACAUAUCAAAAUAAACAUAUGAAAACAACAAACAUAGGGAAGCAACAACGCGAGCUAUUGAUCUACAACAUAAUUUGCAAAAAUACUACCAGGACUAAGUUCAUGAUAAAUUUAAGUUCAAUUAAUCAUAUUACUUAAGAACUCCCACUUAGAUAGACAUCUCUCUAGUCAUCUAAGUGAUCACGUGAUCCAAAUCAACUAAACCAUAACUGAUCAUCACGUGAGAUGGAGUAGUUUCCAAUGGUGAACAUCACUAUGUUGAUCAUAUCUACUAUAUGAUUCACGCUCGACCUUUCGGUCUCCGUGUUCCGAGGCCAUAUCUGCAUAUGCUAGGCUCGUCAAGUUUAACCCGAGUAUUCCGCGUGUGCAAAACUGGCUUGCACCCGUUGUAGAUGGACGUAGAGCUUAUCACACCCGAUCAUCACGUGGUGUCUGGGCACGACGAAUUUUGGCAACGGUGCAUACUCAGGGAGAACACUUCUUGAUAAUUAGUGAGAGAUCAUCUUAAAAUGCUACCGUCAAUCAAAGCAAGAUAAGAUGCAUAAAGGAUAAACAUCACAUGCAAUCAAUAUAAGUGAUAUGAUAUGGCCAUCAUCAUCUUGCGCUUGUGAUCUCCAUCUCCGAAGCACCGUCAUGAUCACCAUCGUCACCGGCGCGACACCUUGAUCUCCAUCGUAGCAUCGUUGUCGUCUUGCCAACUAUUGCUUCUACGACUAUCGCUACCGCUUAGUGAUAAAGUAAGGCAAUUACAUGGCGUUUGCAUUUCAUACAAUAAAGCGACAACCAUAUGGCUCCUGCCAGUUGCCGAUAACUCGGUUACAAAACAUGAUCAUCUCAUACAAUAUAAUUUAGCAUCAUGCCUUGACCAUAUCACAUCACAACAUGCCCUGCAAAAACAAGUUAGACGUCCUCUACUUUGUUGUUGCAAGUUUUAUGUGGCUGCUACGGGCUGAGCAAGAACCGUUCUUACCUACGCAUCAAAACCACAACGAUAGUUUGUCAAGUUGGUGCUGUUUUAACCUUCGCAAGGACCAGGCGUAGCCACACUCGGUUCAACUAAAGUGAGAGAGACAGACACCCUCCAGUCACCUUUAAGCAACGAGUGCUCGCAACGGUGAAACCAGUCUCGCGUAAGCGUACGCGUAAUGUCGGUCCGGGCCGCUUCAUCUCACAAUACCGCCGAACCAAAGUAUGACAUGCUGGUAAGCAGUAUGACUUGUAUCGCCCACAACUCACUUGUGUUCUACUCGUGCAUAUAACAUCAACACAUAAAACCAGGCUCGGAUGCCACUGUUGGGGAACGUAGUAAUUUCAAAAAAUUUCCUACGCACACGCAAGAUCAUGGUGAUGGUAUAGCAACGAGAGGGGAGAGUGUUGUCCAUGUACCCUCGUAGACCGUAAGUGGAAGCGUUAGCACAACGUGGUUGAUGUAGUCGUACGUCUUCACGAUCCGACCGAUCCAAGCACCGAACGUACGGCACCUCCGAGUUCAGCACACGUUCAGCUCGAUGACGAUCCCCGGACUCCGAUCCAGCAAAGUGUCGGGGAUGAGUUCCGUCAGCACGACGGCGUGGUGACGAUGUUGAUGUUCUACCGUCGCAGGGCUUCGCCUAAGCACCGCUACAAUAUUAUCGAGGUGGACUAUGGUGGAGGGGGGCACCGCACACGGCUAAGGAACGAUCUUGAAGAUCAACUUGUGUGUCCAUGGGGUGCCCCCUGCCCCCGUAUAUAAAGGAGUGGAGGAGAGGGCCGGCCCUCUCUAUGGCGCGCCCUAGGGGAGUCCUACUCCCACCGGGAGUAGGAUUUCCCCUUUCCUAGUCCAACUAGGAACCCUUCCAUGUAGUAGGAGUAGGAGAGAAGGAAAGGGAAGAGAGAAGGAGAAGGAAGGAAUGGUGCGCCCCCCCUCCCUAGUCCAAUUCGGACUAGUCCAAGGGGAGGGGUGCGGCCACUCUUUUGGCCCUUUCUCUCCUUUCCCGUAUGGCCCAAAGAGGCCCAAUACGAAUUCCCAUAACUCUCCGGUACUCCCAAAAAUACCCGAAUCACUCGGAACCUUUCCGAACUCCGAAUAUAGUCGUCCAAUAUAUUUAUCUUUACGUCUCGACCAUUUCGAGACUCCUCGUCAUGUCCCCGAUCUUAUCCGGGACUCCGAACUCCUUCGGUACAUCAAAACUCAUAAACUCAUAAUAAAACUGUCAUCGUAACGUUAAGCGUGCGGACCCUACGGGUUCGAGAACUAUGUAGACAUGACCUAGAACUAUUCUCGGUCAAUAACCAAUAGCGGAACCUGGAUGCCCAUAUUGGCUCCUACAUAUUCUACGAAGAUCUUUAUCGGUCAAACCGCAUAACAACAUACGUUGUUCCCUUUGUCAUCGGUAUGUUACUUGCCCGAGAUUCGAUCGUCGGUAUCCAAUACCUAGUUCAAUCUCGUUACCGGCAAGUCUCUUUACUCAUUCCGUAAUGCAUAAUUCCGUAACUAACUCAUUAGCUACAUUGCUUGCAAGGCUUAUAGUGAUGUGCAUUACCGAGAGGGCCCAGAGAUACCUCUCCGACAAUCGGAGUGACAAAACCUAAUCUCGAAAUACGCCAACCCAACAUGUACCUUUGGGGACACCUGUAGUACUCCUUUAUAAUCACCCAGUUACGUUGUGAUGUUUGGUAGCACCCAAAGUGUUCCUCCGGUAAACGGGAGUUGCAUAAUCUCAUAGUUACAGGAACAUGUAUAAGUCAUGAAGAAAGCAAUAACAACAUACUAAACGAUCAAGUGCUAGGCUAACGGAAUGGGUCAUGUCAAUCACAUCAUUCUUCUAAUGAUGUGAUCCCGUUAAUCAACUGACAACACAUGUCUAUGGUUAGGAAACAUAACCAUCUUUGAUUAAUGAGCUAGUCAAGUAGAGGCAUACUAGUGACGUUAUGUUGGUCUAUGUAUUCACACAUGUAUUACGUUUCCGGUUAAUACAAUUCUAGCAUGAAUAAUAAACAUUUAUUAUGAUAUAAGGAAAUAAAUAAUAACUUUAUUAUUGCCUCUAGGGCAUAUUUCCUUCACGAAUGGCACAAGGGGCCCACGCCCCUGGAACAAUUUUUUUUUAAAAAAGAAGUUAAUAAAAUAAAUAAAUAAGUAAUUAUUAACUAAAUAAUGAGUUGAUUAAUUAAGUUAAUUAGUUCUGUUUAGCUAAGCUAAUCAAAAUUAGUUAACCUAAUCAAUGAAAUUAAGCUAAUUAACAUGUUUAAUCUAAGUCAAUGACAUAUGGGACCCACGCGUCAGCUUGACCCAGUCAACACCUCUGUUGACUGGUGAUGUCAUGCUGACGUCAUGCUGAUGCAGUAAUACCAUUUUCGAAUUAAAUUAAUAAUAAUAAAUUAUAAAUUGAAUAAAGUCUCUGAAAAUUAAUAAUAAAUAAACCGUAGUUCGGAUGGAAAAACUUUGUACAUGAAAGUUGCUCAGAACGACGAGACGAACCCGGAAACGCAGCCCGUUCCUCCGCCACACAUCCCUAACCUAUCGAACUCGCAACUUUCCCCCUCCGGCUCCUCUGCCCGAAAACACGAAACACCGGUGAUACUUUCCCGGAUGUUUCCCCCCCUUCACCGACAUUACCUCAUACUGCGUUAGGGCACGCCUAGCAUCACGCUUUGCUUUGUCAUGCAUCGUCAUGCAUAUGUUUGCAUUGUAUUCAUUGUUUCUUCCCCCUCUGCUUCCGCUAGACACCGAGACCGACGCUGCUGCUGCCCAGUUCGACUACGGAGUUGACGACCCCUCUCUCUUGCCAGAGCAACCAGGCAAGCCCCCCCUUUGAUCACCAGAUAUCGCCUAUUCUUCUCUAUACUGCUUGCAUUAGAGUAGUGUAGCAUGUUACCGCUUUCCGUUAAUCCUAUUCUGCUGCAUAGCUUGUCCUUGCUACUACUGUUGUUACCUUUACCUGCAAUCCUACAUGCCUAGUAUAGGAUGCUAGUUUUCCAUUAGUGGACCUACAUUCUUGUCCGUCUGCUGUGCUAUACUAUCGGGCCGUGAUCACUUGGGAGGUGAUCAUGGGUAUAUACUAUAUACUUUAUACAUGAUACAUGUGGUGACUAAAGUCGGGUCGGCUUGUGGAGCACCCGCGAGUGAUUCACGGAUUGGGGGCUGAAAGGACCUUUGUCCCAACGGCCCUCUGUGUGGAUCUUUGUGGCGGAGCGUCAGGGCAGGUUGAGACUACCUGGGUGAGAGGUGGGCCUGGCCCUGUUCGGCGUUCGUGGAUACUUAACACGCUUAACGAGAUCUUGGUAUUUGAUCUGAGUUGGGUCGUUGACCUUAUACGCACUAACCGCCACAUGGGACAAGUUAUGGGCAACCGGCGUCGUGGUAUCAGCCGAAGCAUUUCGUGACGUCAGCGACGGAGCGGCGCGCGCCGGUUUGGACUGGAACGCCUGCUAGGCUAGGUCUGCUUUCGGCCGCCCUCGCAACAUGCAGGUGUGCUAAGGGCGAUGGGCCCAGACCCCUGUGCGCUUAGGUUUAGACCGGCGUGCUGACCUCUCUCUUAUGCCUAGGUGGGGCUGUGGCGUGUUGAUCUUCCGCGGCCGGGCAUGACCCAGGAAAGUGUGUCCGGCCAAAUGGGAUCGAGCGUGUCGGGUAAUGUGGUGCACCCAUGCAGGGAAGUUAAUCUAUUCGAAUAGCCGUGAUCUUCGGUAACAGGACGACUUGGAGUUGUACCUUGAUCUUAUGACAACUAGAACCGGAUACUUAAUAAAAUACACCCUUCCAAGUGCCAGAUACAACCCGGUGGUCGCUCUCUAACAGGGCAUUGAGGAGGGGAUCGCCGGGUAGGAUUAUGCUAUGCGAUGCUACUUGGAGGACUUCAGUCUACUCUCUUCUACAUGUUGCAAGACGAAGGCUGCCAGAAGCGUAGUCUUCGACAUGAUUAGCUAUCCCCCUCUUAUUCUGGCAUUCUGCAGUUCAGUCCACUGAUAUGGCCCUUUACACAUAUAUCCAUGCAUAUGUAGUGUAGCUCCUUGCUUGCGAGUACUUUGGAUGAGUACUCACGGUUGCCUUGUUCCCCCCUUUUCCCCUAUCUCUAUCCGAUUGCUGCGACCAGACGAUGGAUCCCAGGAGCCAGACGCCACCUUCGAUGACGACUCCUACUACGCUGGAGGUGCCUACUACUACAUGCAGCCCGCUGACGAUGACCAGGAGUAGUUUAGGAGGAUCCCAGGCAGGAGGCCUGCGCCUCUUUCGAUCUGUAUCCCAGUUUGUGCUAGCCAUCUUAUGGCAACUUGUUUAACUUAUGUCUGUACUCAGAUAUUGUUGCUUCCGCUGACUCGUCUAUGAUCGAGCACUUGUAUUCGAGCCCUCGAGGCCCCUGGCUUGUAUUAUGAUGCUUGUAUGACUUAUUUAUGUUUUAGAGUUGUGUUGUGAUAUCUUCCCGUGAGUCCCUGAUCUUGAUCGUACACGUUUGCGUGCAUGAUUAGUGUACGAUUGAAUCGGGGGCGUCACAAGUUGGUAUCCGAGCCGACUGUCUGUAGGAAUCCCCCUUCCAACUCCUUGGCCGAAGUUGAGUCUAGACGUUGCAAAAACUUCUACUAACAUGGCUGUGUGUCUUACGGGCACACGUCGCCAUUGGGUGGUAGUAGGAUCUUUUAUUCCUUGACCUAUGCUCUGGGACUCUGAUCUCUCUUGUAUUCGGGUUAAAUGAAUUUUACUAAAUCUAACAUUAGGAUCUCGUUAUCACUUUCACCCGGAGAGCCUCAUAUUACUGAUGAUCGUUUGCUGCACGUGAAGACCCUGAAGAUACUCUCCGCUAUUAACCCGAGAAUUUGUGUUCAUCGCGUUUGCAAUUCCCUUCCACCGUCAACCCUUAUGGAUAACUACUUGCAGUUGUUAUUCUUACAUUCAUCCCCAGUUGGUCUUGUUAUUACAAGAUACCCCGAAACACUCAUCGUUGUUUCGAUAAUCCUUUGAGCUUACUGCCUUGCUGUUCUUUGUCACCUGAAUACCCAAACGGAUAAUUCCUCGCACUUGCCGAGUAUCCCCUCAUCCCUAGCCGUUCAUGUGUUUCACAAUAGACUUGAAAAUACCAUUCGAUCUUCCAAAAAUCUUCGGCAGCCAUUUGCUCUUGAAUUUCUUGCUUGCUUUCAUUAUGGUUAAUCCCAUAAGUCUAGUAAUCUUAUUGGCAUCCUUUGUCACUAUCAUUUUGUGUCCGUUGAUUCUAUAUGUGUGCGAAUGCACGCAAUAAUUAGUUGAUCCUUAUAAAUUAUAUUUUCGGCUACUUUCGAACAUGAGCUGGUUCUCGGCCAAUCAGAUUGCCAUCGACUGUACCCCUAAGGCUAUUCAACUUAUCCGUCCGUAAUCGGAGCAUUGCUUCUGAUCCCUUGUCUUGGAAUUCAUAAUUCCUUUGCAAUUGAGCUUUGAAGUAGUCAGUUGUUUCUAUCAUCUGAUCUCCUUGCAUGCUUUCUUCUUCUGGUUGAGUACCGAUGCUCACAUCAGAUCCCUUAUGGACCACCAGAUCUUUUGUUGAAUUUUAUCCGGCAAUAUCCUUCAUACUCAAUAACCUUGAGCCUUUCCCAGGAUAUAUACCGCCUUUGGUAAAUUGUAUCCUUUUCUUUGUCAACCAUGCUCUACUUUGAGCUUGUGUUAAUUACUCCUGAAGUUCGUGGUAUAUGUUCUAAGAAGCCCCGAUGGCUUGAACCUAUGCCUUCCUUAAUAUGUGUGAACUAGAAAGUUCUCACGAGUCAUACACUCCUGGUAUUUUGCCAGAUAAAAUUUCAACACUACAACCUCCUCGAAAAUGAGAAGUGAACGAAAGGUUAUGCAUUGGAGAAGUGGGAGUUGAUCUUGAACUUGUGUUCAUGCCCAUGGACACGAUGUAGAUCUUGUCAUUAAAGCUUCUCUUAAAUUAAUUAUCCCUUUGGUAUAACUUCAUCUUAUAUCUGGGAUCUGGCCUUUUGCAAUCGUGGUUCCGACCAUGUUCUCUUUUAAAUACCAUUUCUCGUGCAAGUUUAAGCACUUGUCUUCUGUAGAGCAAUACCCCAGUCCAACCUCUACUUUGAUCUGUCGUCGAGUAUUACCCCCUGGUAUCUCGAGAUUAUCAUGGAACUGCGUAACUUCUUAUGAGUUCUUCAUCAAGUGCUACAUUCCCACUGAUUCCAAUUUUUCACGGGCUCUGAGUUUUUAAACACUCAAGGACACCAAUAACUGAACCGAGUCCGCACUACGGUUCAACAACUCUUCAGUAAGCUUCUAUAAGUACGAGUUUGUACCCGAUCAUGCCAUUCCUAGCCUGUUUGACUAUAUCAUUGUCGUGAUGAUUCUAACUGUGCUACCUGGUCCUUAUUCUCGGAGCACCAAUUUGCGACGAUAGCUAAGCUUACGUCGAUUUUCCUCGUCAUACCCUUUCACCUUAAACAACAAGCUUGAGUUCGAGUUUGUGUCGUAACUGUGGUUCCAAUAACCUCUUGCUUCAUCAUUCCUUUGACUUGAUGUCGUCGCUGAUUGAUUACAUCUUCAUGAAAUCUCUCGACAAAUGUGUCGUGAUCAUCAUCAACCUUAUGAGCUCUUCCAGGAUAUCAACCGGAUUCAUGAAGAGAAAUACCAUCCUUGCCCUCGAUGAGUUGUGUUAUAUCGGCCACUUUAUUGCCUUCCCUCCAACACAAACUUGUUCGUGUUUUGUGUUAUACCUUGAGUUCCUUGCUAUCCAGUAAUUGUUCUUCUUUACCUUGGAACAUUAACAUCUCUUAUGUCCUCAAUGUUGUGAGAAUUUCACCACCUCUGGAGAAUUCUUGAUACAAGUGAUACUUAUCACCAUCACCAUUCUUCCUUGGUCCCCAUGUUGUUUUUAACCGAGAUACCAAUAUGCUGACGAUGCUGCUUGAGUUUUGUACUUCUAGCAACCCUAUUGCUUUGAAGUUAAUGAUCGAUAGUUCGUUCUUAGACUGUUGGUUAUUGAAUCGUCACUCUAACAGUGAUCUUGCUGCCUAAGGUCAUAUUUCGGGUGCACUUUUCAACCAAUGUUUAAUUGUGUAUGUUUUCCUCAAGCAUACAUCAUUAUAUCAUUUGUUUCGACAAUGUUAUCUCCUUGUUCAGAUAAUCGUGGAAAUCCAUCUUCUGAAAUCUCAAUGGAAUGUCGCUGAGUCCAUCAGGCACCUCCUCACCCUCUCCUUGGUUUAAUGAUGAACCCUUGUCCGAAACUCGCUCCCACUGUUCAAUUCCCGAGAAUCUUACAAUGUCAUCUCGACAAUUUGGUUGCACCGCUCUUCUCAGGCAUCCCGAGUUUGCGGUAUCCUGACACCAAUCAUAUCUGAAUCUCCGUCAGAUAUGAUGGUUGGAACAUAUUUACAAGAGUUAUAACGCUAGUCUUCAUAAGACCCGGCAAGGUGAUGUCAUGCCUAGCACACCUGGCCGGAGGACCUAUUGUUAUAGUUGUUCCUUUUUGGCAAGGUUAACCAUUCUUCCAUGAGGGAAUUGUAAAACUUAUUCCAUAAGUUAUUCCUGAUGAAUCCUCCGAGUAUCCAAAGUCUGACCUUUGCUUGAAUGCCAUGCAAUGCUAUCUCGAAGCAUGUUUGUGGUACUCCGAUUUUCAACAAGAACAUUUGAAGCCCAAUGCUAAAUGCUUCCUGCUCAAUUAUCCAAACACCGUUGUAUGGGUAAUGUCAUGAAAAUUCUCUCCCCUACCUAAAGAGUUUUCUACAUUAUACCCUGCCACGGAUAGCAUGCUCUGCUUGCCUUGGGAAGGAUAUAUCCCUGAAAUAUGUGUUUAAACACAUUUUCCUUUCCAUUGCCUGUUUAACCUGGUAAUCACCUUUCCUUUCCAUUAGUUUGCUUAACCCUUCUUGUGAUCUAUAUUAUAUAAGCAGUAGUAAUCUUCUGCUUAUGUAAAACACCUUGGUGUACAACCUUAUCAGUCAGACCCUGUUACUAUUGUUGAUGACAUUUCGGUAACCACCGAUGGAUGGGAACUUUGCCUAUUGGUCCGCCUCGUUCAAUGAGCAGGAAAAUGGUUCUCUUCGUCCCUCGCCCUCGGUAUCGAUGUUGUUGCCGACAUAACUAACAGGCUACCCUCUAGCAUGCCUUGCUAUUGUGACCGUGCAAGAUGUCAGCCCCCCUUCCUACCUUUAACCCACAUGGUGGGCCCAUAACCCACAGUUCCCAGGAUCGAAACUUGACUCUCCUGCACCCCCUGUUCCCAAGGUUCUUCCUCGCGUGUGGCCUCGUAUGUAAUUCACGAGCCACCUUCUGAGAGAUCAUCAAAUCUGUUACCGGACGCAAUACUUAGUCCCGAUUGCUUUGAGCCCCUUUCAAGCCCUGUUCAGGCAGCGAACGGUUGCCUGCUCGCUCGAAACUUCCCAUGAAACCUCAUUACUUGCUCUCGAUAUUCACUUAAGUUUCAAUUCGAGAGUUACUUUCCGCCACCUUCCCCGAUGUUAUCGACCAGAUAGUCAACCUUGUAGAGGUUCGUUCUCCCGGAAUAACCCCCUUAUUCUUUCGUAUGUACGAUGGAACCCCCAAGGAAAGGAUGUCGACUUCAUCUUGAUGACCUAAAGCAGAAAAAUGAAGACAUCAAUAUAAUGGAUCGACCACUUUGAGAGGAGCAACCAAGGCCGAGAAGAUUUGUUAGAAUUUCGUAAACAAACGUUUCCCCCUUAGACCCCUCAUAAAUCUCGGGACGAGAUUUCUUGUAGUGGAGGAGAAUUGUGACGCCCGGGUAUUUAGCUACAGUAAUUCCCUGCUAAUGAUGCCACGUCACUUCGGUUACUUUCGCUAAUCUCGUUUUAGUUCGGAACCGAUUCAAAUUCAUAUUCAAAAUCAAGCAAACGAUAAACGUUUUCAAAGGUCAAAACUAAAAUGUUCUAAAUGUGACAAAUAAUUCAUAAGUAAUGUUGGUGGAGAAACCACAUUUUUAUAAAAGGUCUAAAUGCAUUUAAUUAAUUAAAACAGUAGGUAAGACAAAUAAAUAAAUGCCUUGGUAUUUUAUAAAACACUAAACUAUAUUAUUUGGGGGUUAAACCUUUUUGUGGCAGAGGUAUAAUUAGUGUUACUAUUUUAGGUACAACUUUUAUGUUUUAUAAAACUAGAAUAAAAUAAAACAGUAAAAGAAAAAGAACAAAACAGAAAAAAAUACAAAAGAAAUUAAAGUCCCCCCGCCCGCUGGGCCUCGGCCCAGCUGGCCAAGUAGUCGGCCGGCCCGGCCGGCCCAUCCCCACUCCCUUAACCCGCUGGUGCGAAACCCUAACCCGUUGCCCCCGUAGUCCCACUCCCCCCACCUUUCCCCUCGUCCCCUCACCCGCCGCCACCACACGCAACACACGCACACACACUCACGCACGCAUCGUGCCUGGGGAAGGGGCGCCCCUGCUCGAUCCCCUCCUCCCGCAUGGCCGCGCCCGACGCAAACCGUCACUCCGCUACGGCCAUCGCAGCCGGCACCGGCACUGCCACUCAGGACCGCCUCUGUGCCCCUUAUCUACCUCGCGCGGAGCCCGCCUGACGCAGCGGCCUCGCCUCGUCCCCGACCCGCCGACGUUGAACGCCACCCCACGCCACGGCCUCCUCCUCGCGGCUCCCUGCCCUGUUCCGACCCCCUCGCAUCGCCGCCUCCUCCUUUGACCUGCGCGGUCGCCGACCCCGCCUCUGUCGCCCGCUCCUGCCGCCCGCGCCUCCCAUGGCUGCACCAGGCCGUGGCCGGCGCCUGCCGGCGCGCGUGGGCGCUCUCCUGCAGCUCGCCAUUGCUCCUCCGCGUGCCUCGCCGAUGUUGGUCGCCCUGCCGGACCGCUUCGUCAUCGACGGCCCGCACCUCGUCGACCACCUCUCCGACUCCGACCACCCCGACCCUCCAUCGAGCACGCUGCCCGAACCCUACGGCCCCAGUGAGCGCCUCCCCCUUCUCCUCUCGGUCUCCCUCGUGCAGCUCACGCGCCUCGUCGCGCCCGUCGCGUCAACGUCGGGCUCGCUACCCCGUGUACUGCUGUAGCUGCUGUCGACCGCGGCCUCUCCUGUGUGCGCCCGGCCAUGGACAUAACCCCCCUACUGCCGCGCCGUCGUUCCCCUGCUCUCACUCCACCACGCAUCGCCCUGCCGCCGCAACCUCGCGCCGGCGUACGCCCGUCGCCAGCGCCCCGCCACACCGUUCGCCUGGGCCAGUGCCCAAUCGGGUUGGGGCUUCACUCGCAGCGCCCGAACCCACUUUGGCCAUGGGACAAUGGCACAAGGGGCCCACGCCCCUGGAACAAUUUUUUUUAAAAGGAAGUUAAUAAAAUAAAUAAAUAAGUAAUUAUUAACUAAAUAAUUAGUUGAUUAGUUAAGUUAAUUAGUUCUAUUUAGCUAAGCUAAUUAAAAUUAGUUAACCUAAUCAAUGAAAUUAAGUAAUUAACAUGUUUAAUCUAAGUCAAUGACAUAUGGGACCCACGCGUCAGCUUGACCCAGUCAACACCUCUAUUGACUGGUGAUGUCAUGCUGACGUCAUGCUGAUGCAGUAAUACCAUUUUCGAAUUAAAUUAAUAAUAAUAAAUUAUAAAUUGAAUAAAGUCUCUGAAAAUUAAUAAUGAAUAAACCGUAGUUCGGAUGGAAAAACUUUGUACAUGAAAGUUGCUCAGAACGACGAGACGAACCCGGAAACGCAGCCCGUUCGUCCGCCACGCAUCCCUAACCUAUCAAACUCGCAACUUUCCCCCUCCGGCUCCUCUGCCCGAAAACACGAAACACCGGGGAUACUUUCCCGGAUGUCCCCCCCCUUCACCGACAUCACCUCAUACUGCGUUAGGGCACGCCUAGCAUCACGCUUUGCUUUGACAUGCAUCGUCAUGCAUAUGUUUGCAUUGUAUUCAUUGUUUCUUCCCCCUCUACUUCCGCUAGACACCGAGACCGACGCUGCUGCUGCCCAGUUCGACUACGGAGUUGACGACCCCUCUCUCUUGCCAGAGCAACCAGGCAAGCCCCCCCUUUGAUCACCAGAUAUCGCCUAUUCUUCUCUAUACUGCUUGCAUUAGAGUAGUGUACCAUGUUACUGCUUUCCGUUAAUCCUAUUCUGCUGUAUAGCUUGUCCUUGCUACUACUGUUGUUACCUUUACCUGCAAUCCUACAUGCCUAGUAUAGGAUGCUAGUUUUCCAUUAGUGGCCCUACAUUCUUGUCCGUCUGCUAUGCUAUACUAUCGGGCCGUGAUCACUUGGGAGGUGAUCACGGGUAUAUACUAUAUACUUUAUACAUGAUACAUGUGGUGACUAAAGUCGGGUCGGCUUGUGGAGCACCCGCGAGUGAUUCACGGAUUGGGGGCCGAAAGGACCUUUGUCCCAACGGCCCUCUGUGUGGAUCUUUGUGGCGGAGCGUCAGGGCAGGUUGAGACUACCUGGGUGAGAGGUGAGCCUGGCCCUGUUCGGCGUUCGCGGAUACUUAACACGCUUAACGAGAUCUUGGUAUUUGAUCUGAGUUGGGUCGUUGACCUUAUACGCACUAACCUCCACGUUGGACAAGUUAUGGGCAACCGGCAUCGUGGUAUCAGCCGAAGCAUUUCGUGACGUCAACGACGGAGCGGCGCGCGCCGGAUUGGACUGGAACGCCUGCUAGGCUAGGUCUGCUUUCGGCCGCCCUCGCAACGUGCAGGUGUGCUAAGGGCAAUGGGCCCAGACCCCUGUGCGCUUAGGUUUAGACCGGCGUGCUGACCUCUCUCUUAUGCCUAGGUGGGGCUGCGACGUGUUGACCUUCCGCGGCCGGGCAUGACCCAGGAAAGUGUGUCCGGCCAAAUGGGAUCGAGCGUGUCGGGUAAUGUGGUGCACCCUUGCAGGGAAGUUAAUCUAUUCGAAUAGCCGUGAUCUUCGGUAACAGGACGACUUGGAGUUGUACCUUGACCUUAUGACAACUAGAACCGGAUACUUAAUAAAACACACCCUUCCAAGUGCCAGAUACAACCCGGUGGUCGCUCUCUAACAUGGCAUUGAGGAGGGGAUCGCCGGGUAGGAUUAUGCUAUGCGAUGCUACUUGGAGGAUUUCAGUCUACUCUCUUCUACAUGUUGCAAGACGGAGGCUGCCAGAAGCGUAGUCUUCGACAGGAUUAGCUAUCCCCCUCUUAUUCUGGCAUACUGCAGUUCAGUCCACUGAUAUGGCCCUUUACACAUAUAUCCAUGCAUAUGUAGUGUAGCUCCUUGCUUGCGAGUACUUUGGAUGAGUACUCACGGUUGCCUUGUUCCCCCUUUUCCCCCUAUCUCUAUCCGAUUGCUGCGACCAGACGAUGGAUCCCAGGAGCCAGAUGCCACCUUCGACGACGACUCCUACUACGCUGGAGGUGCCUACUACUACGUGCAGCCCGCUGACGACGACCAGGAGUAGUUUAGGAGGAUCCCAGGCAGGAGGCCUGCGCCUCUUUCGAUCUGUAUCCCAGUUUGUGCUAGCCAUCUUAUGGCAACUUGUUUAACUUAUGUCUGUACUCAGAUAUUGUUGCUUCCGCUGACUCGUCUAUGAUCGAGCACUUGUAUUCGAGCCCUCGAGGCCCCUGGCUUGUAUUAUGAUGCUUGUAUGACUUAUUUAUGUUUUAGAGUUGUGUUGUGAUAUCUUCCCGUGAGUCCCUGAUCUUGAUCGUACACGUUUGCGUGCAUGAUUAGUGUACGAUUGAAUCAGGGGCGUCACACAAGGGUGCCUGUCGAGAGCGGCGUGUUGUCGGGGGAGGUUUUUGGGUGCGGGCAGCGGCCUGGGCAAUGUCCAACCGGCCGGAACUGGGCGACAACGGUGAAGGCAGGGUGCCCGGGUGUCUUAGUUUUGGACGGGAGAGGAGGGUAAUUGCCAAUGUGCCACCGAAUGACAGGCUAGGGGGAGGACAAGGACGGGCGUCGCGUGCGUCCACGUCAUGUCCGUGCUGAUGCAAACCCGACUCAAAUCUUGUCCUGAAAUGAGUCGCGAGCAGACAAAAAGCGGACACUCGCCCGUUUGCGUCGGCACAUUGGGCCGCAGUUUGUGUUCAUUUCGACCCAAACCGACGUGCAUAGACAGAACGCGUCGGCGCAUUGGAGUUGGUCUUAGACACCACCCUCAUUGCAAGAAAUGUGCACGCAGUGGCAAAGAAAAGCUGCCAGACCAGGGGCACCCCACGCUCAUAGGGGUGGGGAACGACCCAACAUGGUUGGACGGUGGAGUGGCAGGCAGAAGGGGGCGUCAAGAGUACUCCAGCAUCCUUUAUAAGAGUAAUUCGGUGAUGGUCGAUGUAUCAACAUGUAAUAUCCACAAAUUUCCUGCGGCUCGAAGCAGCCGCAAAAACAAUAUAUGUGUACAAAUUAAAUAUGUACCCCGUGAGCUAGCAGAAAGUACCCAACGAAUCUUACAUCGUUCAUAGCGGUGAAGGUAUACGCGUAUGUACUAUGUUCUGCUCGGUGACUCAUACGUCUCAAACUUACCUAUAAUUUUUGAUUGAUUCAUGCUAUUAUAAUACCAUCCAUAGCAAUUUAUAUUGUUUUUCUGAACUAAACUAUAAAUUCAAUGCCUAGAGCCAGUUACUGUUUUCUGCAUGUUUUUGAUUUGACAGAAAAUCAUUCGGCAUGCGUUAAGCCUGUCGAUUCACAAAACAAUAAAUAGAAGUUCAACCUUCGCCAUGUGGGCCAACUUAUAAGGCGAGCCCACAUCCUGGGAAGGUGCUAAAGUUGUUCCAACCGAAGAUACCAAUGUUGUCUUCAUCAAAUUGGAAAAUAUGAAUUUUCUAGUUUGACCCCUUUGAACUCGUAAAAAAAUUGGUUUGAUUUCAUCUUGUUUUGUAUUAUUUGGCUUCGUUUCUUUCUGAGGCCCGUAAGCUACAUAUCUACCCAUCCAAACGUUGCUCAAUCGGCCCAAAAUAAAUUCCCCAAAAGCCCAAUCAACCCUGCAACAAAACACCCCACCUUUCCUCCUUUCUUCCGCCGCCGCUAGAGUUUCCUCUUCUAGUUAGGGUUUCCUCGAUCCCCAAUUUCCCCACCCCAACCCUAGCUCCGAUCCACCCGAUGGCGGCCGCAGAGGGCAAGAAGAAGAUCAUCAAGCUCAAGAGUUCAGACGGUAAGGAGUUUGAGGUGGAGCAGGCGGUGGCCAUGGAGUCGCAAAUGAUCCGGCACAUGAUCGAGGACGACUAUACUGACAACGGCUUGUUGCUCCACAAUGUCAACUCAAAGAUCCUCUCCAAGGUCAUUGAGUACUGCAACAAACACGUCCAAGCAAAGGCCGCCGACACAUCUGAUUUUGGAGGAGGAGCUAGGCCGUUAGGUGCUACAUCGGCUGUGCCUGCGGCGCCCACAGAGGACCUCAAAAACUGGGACGCCAAUUUCGUCAAGGUCGACACGGCCACCAUAUUCGACCUCGCACUGGUGUGAUUACUUUCCAUCCUUUGAUUUGUUCCUUGAAAUUCUCUAGAUCUAUUUUUUUACUAUCCCCCAUUGAUGGAAUCAAGAUUGUUUUUGUUUAGUUUGGCUUGUUACUUGUGUCUGAUUGAGAUUUGGAUAGAUUGGAAUAUGUCCUCGUACCUUCAUCAAGGUAGAUUUGACUCGAUUGGAUUAGGUUAGGUUACACAAUGGAUUAGGUUUAGGUCACAAAGAGUUGUUAUUGGCGAUGUAGAAAGCAGCCGACCAUACAUACUAACCCUAAUAGCUAGGUUCGCGCAUUAUCUGGGGAGCUAUAUUAAUUUACAUUUCCAUGUUCAUCUGGUCUAAUAUGCUUCACUAUAUAUGAAUAACCUAGAAACAUUUUAAAUUAUUAGAUUCACUAUUAUUUUGUUUGUAGACUACAUAUAUGGGAUGAUGAUUGAGUGGUUUCUCUUUCAAUAACUUGCGGAAACAUCAGACCACACAGAGCAAUAUAUGGUCUGAUGUUUCUAUAUUUGUCACUGUUGUUUCUAGAUUUGAACCAUGCAUGAAUGUCCAUAUCUAGUGUGAAAUUAUGAUCUUGUAUGCUAGACUUUAGUAGAUCUGCUCUGAAUUUGUUUAGUUAUGUUGGUUUAUCAUAGAUAGGGUGGUUUGUCGCAUGUGUCAUCCUUAGUUAUAAUACAUAAAUCCAAUAUCAUACAUUACUACUUUGAUAUUUGUAAUUAUGCAUUGUAGAUCACACACUUCUUUCUAAUUUUGCUAUCUAUGUCUUUAUUAUCUUAUAGGUUUCACUACUGGUCCAUAUGUCAACAAUGAAUGCCUUUUUCUUCUAUCUAGCAUCGAGUUACUAUUUAUUUUGCUGUAUACAUAGUGAUAGCUAAAUCACAUCAACAUGCUAAUGUUUCUAACUUUGUAUCAAAUAUUUAUGAUCUCAACUAAUCUUUUAGAUACCACUAUUGAUCCAUGUCAUCUACGAAUGCCUUCUUCUAUCUAGCAUUGGUUGAGUAUUGAUUGUGGUUCUAUUAACAUUACAUCCUUGUAGCUAAAUCACGAGAUGAUACAUUGUGCCUGUCCAUGUUAGAAGUGAUGAUGCUUUCCAUCGUUUGAAGUGAAACCACACAUGACUUCCCAUGGCCACUAUAAAAUCCUGAUCUUGUUUGCAAGAGUUUAGCACUAUUUACUUUUAGUUUCUUUUCUUAUAGUUAUCUUAUUUUAUCAUAGAUAAGAUUUCGAUCUCACAUGUGCCAUCUUCACUUGCAAUACAUAUUCCAGUUUCAUAUAUUACUGACCCCUAAACACAUGUUUUGUGUUGUGGUUUGAUUUUACUAUGAUAGAUAACUAUGUUUCUAACUUUAUUGUUCCCUGCGGAUCAUUUAUCAUGAGGAAUGUAUGUAGCUGUGUCUGAUCUCACUCUAUUUUGUGACAGUUAUGUUAACUUUUCUUGACUAUCGAUCCAUUUAUGUUAACCCCUUUGAAUGAAUAUCUUUUGAUUAUUGCACACCUUGUUUUGUGUUUUAGUUUGUCGCAAAAACCUCUAUGUAGGUGGUAUAUGUAAUUAUCCAUGUUUUUGUAAACCAAUGCUUCCCUCUGACACACCAUUAUUCCUUUUGCUCUUUUGCCCCCUCCCAGGCUGCGAACCACCUCAACAUCAGGGGGCUCCUAGACCUGACUUGCCAGACCAUCGCCGACAUGAUCACGGGAAAGACGCCAGAGGAGAUCCGCAAGAUCUUCAACAUCAAUGAGAAAUUAAGACCCGAGGAGGAGGAGAAGAUCCGCAGGGAAAACCAAUGGGCCUUUGAGUAGAGGAACAUCUAGGCCGCGCUGAAGUAAUGAACACUUAGUAUUACCCAUGUCUACAUUUCAGUGUGCUUGUUUAUGUCAUAAUGGUUGUAAUGAACCAAGAGUCUAUAAGGUGGUGUUGGUGAACUUAUUCAGUGGUUAUGUUUGCAAAAAUAAUAUGGUGGUCAUCAAUUAUCAUUUGUCAAAUGAAUCGUUAUUGUCAAGUUGAUGUUUUGCUUGCUUAUCAUUAUUUUUUCACUGAUUUCCACCAUGUGAUUUGGGCUUCUUCGUUGGUUAUUCAUGUCUGUUUUGUUCAUCGAUCAAGAUGCAUGGAUGCUCUUGUUACUUAAGAGACGGUCCUUGUUCUUCCGCUCUCUCUUUACAAUCCUAAUAAAAUAAAAAUAAAAGUUGUUGCUUAAAUUAUUUGAGGGAUCAAACUAAUUUUAGAAGACCUGAAAUUUUUAUGGUAACCACUUACGACCAUGGCAAGGCCACACUAAAACAUAUAGGGUUUUAGGAUUAUAUUUACAAUUUUUUUUACAAAAAAUCCAUUUAAAUGAAUAAAAGAGUGAUGUUAUUCUCUACUGACUGCAGAACCACGCCGCACCAGAAUCAGUUAACCCUCGUACACCUCUCCGUCUGUGACUCCACUGCCGAGUCUUCCCAUCACCGGCUCGUUGCCGUCCGGGGCCUCGCCGUUGUCCACCGCCUUGGUGCGCUCGGCACGGCGUGGUCAACGUGGUCAACAAACGAGAGUCGUCGGAAGAGGAUUAUACGUGGAGAGGCUGACAGUGGGGAUGCACCAGGUCCAUGGACGCACACUGCAACCGCCUCCUUGUGACGCGAAAAUAAAAAUUAUUCCUCCCCAUGAAAGCUGGGACCCACCAUGUAUAUCUUCGCAAGGAAGGAAGUGCCUCCUUAUGCCUGCUCCUGACAGCUGGGACCCACCAACAACAUCUUUGCUCCCAAGGAAGUGACUCCUUAUUAUGGGCAAAAAAUAUAUGAUUCCGCCUCUGACCACUGGGACCCACCAGCUAUAUAUUCACACACAAGGAAAUGCCUCCUUGCCCCCCGACAGCUGGAACCCACCUGGUCGAAGCAUACGUAGCGUUGUCUGUGUACAUACCGGUCGAUCGGUCUGUUUGCCACGAUGAACCAUGUCCGAGUAAGGAGCGGUAGCAGUUGAGGCAAUCCAGUCAAAACAGAGUACACGUACGGACAACCAGAUGCUAAAAAAUACAUCCACGUACGUACAUACGGGUGUGGUCUCGAACGCAUACUCGCGCAUACGUAAUGUGUCGUGUUCAUCGGGAGGCAACAUAAUGCGUCGUGUUUAUUGGGAGGCAAUGGAAUAUGUCGUGUUCAUUAGGAGCCAACCGGCUUAGAUGUAAUAGCCGAAACGAGGUCUGGCGUACCACAGAACGGAGGAAAUGGGCCUUCUGUUGGGCCACGUACGGUCGAAAUGGGUCCUGUUUAUCGGGAAGGGUCUGGCCUACCGCAAAACAGAGGAAAAAAACUUGUAUUCGAGUGCCUACGGUCGAAACGGGGUCCUGUUGAUAGGGAGGGGUGUGGCGUACCGUAAAACGGAGGAAACGGACUUGUGUUGGAGCGCUUACGGUCAAAACAAGGUCCUGUUCAUCCACCAUCUACUGCUGCGCCCCAGCCUCCACGAGCUACUAUUUAUCCACCAUCGACCUCCUCCAGCCUCCACCAGCUACUGUUCAUCCACCGGCUACUAUGCAUAGAGGCUCCAGAGGGUCCUGUUCAUCCACCCCCAACCGGCUAGGGUGCGAUGGCCUCCUUGGGGUCCUGUUCAUCCCGCGGCAACGGCCUACUACCACGGGGUCCUCUUCAUCAAACCCCCACCGGGAACUGUUCAUCCACAACCAACCAACCGGCUCGACUCACCAUGUCUUGACUCGUUCUACGUACCAUGUGCACGGUAGCAACGGUCACUGAUCAUCGAGAGUCAACCCAACACUGGCUGGCUACGUCUCGCACGGGGGCUCGAUCGGCUUCAAUAAGCAGCAGAUGCGAGCAAUCGCUCGGGUUCAGUUAGGAGCAAUAGCGAAGGAAUCGCUCGGGUUUAGUCAGCAGUGAAUGAAUCACUCGAGUUCAGUUAAUAGCCAAGGGAUCAAUCGCUCGGCUUCAGUAACGUAGCUAGCAGUGCGAUCGCUCGGUUUAGUUAGAGCCCAACGCCUCGCACACACGCAUGUACACAAGCGAAACGCACAAACCACAAUGCAUUGCCCAGCCCCGACCACCCACCGUAACCUGGAACUCCCCCAUAUUUUCCUCGCCCUCGCUUCUACCAUGAUUUUUCCCGUCAUGGACGGCCCAAAGAAUGUCAUGCAGCCGCGUCUCCGGCCUGCCCAGGACGAAAAACCCAUUUUCAUGGACCUAUCAUCUCAUUUUCGUCCUGUGAAAUCUCUGAUCCUAUUCUCUAUAUAUGCAGCAUGGUCUAUUAUGUAGCAAUAGCACGGUCUAUUAUGCUCUGUUACCGGCAGUAAUGUCAGUUGUUCUCUAGUAUUUGUCAUCGCAGUGCUCUCCUUCCUGUUGUUCCAUAUUUUGUAGCUGCAUCUUUGAUGUGUAUACGUUGUUGAUGUGUUGUCUUGGUAUAAGUAAAGCUGACUACUUCUGUCCUUUGUCGUCAAAUGAAGUCAUGAUAUGUUGUUAGCAACCUAGGACAGGAGGUAUUUGUUCAAGUUUGCAGUUCCAAGAUCCAUUGCUGAUGAAUAUGGAGUCAUUAAUAUUUAUUCUAUUUUUCCAAGAAAUGCUUCACUUGUAAGUUAUAACACCAGUCACAGACAACACACUUAACAAUUUUCGCGUGUCCCCUAUUACAUUUGACAGGGUCGAUUCGAAAUCCUAUGCCUCUGUGGAUCAUACCUGGUGAUAGAUGACGGCGUUUCACGCACAUGGAAUGGAGGUCUAUGCAUAGCGCUGUGUGGCGCUGAUCGCAGGGUGAUUGGAGGAAGCGUUGGUGGAGUCCUGACAGCAGCCGGGACAAUUCAGGUGAUCACUCGCUUCUUUUUUUUUCACUGAAACAUCAGCAUUUCAUUAAUUCAUCCUUGGUCUGUUGUGUUCCAGAAAUGAAUGAUGAGGUGAUUGUGCGUGUUGGUGCAGGUGAUUGUGGGGAGCUUCAUGUACGCGGGGUUGAAGAAGAGCAGGAAGGGCAAGGCUGGGAAGGAGUCUGCUGCGGCGGAGGAAGAACAGACCGGCGAUGCGAACGGGGGCAGGGGCAGGGGCGAAGAUGGAGUUGGAGGCGAGGCGGAGGAAGAGGGGCCUUCGCCGCUGAUGCCGAUGCCCCGCGGAGAGGAGGAGCUGCCGUCGGACGCGAUGAUGAGCGGGUGGACGGGCAUGAUGCGGCAGAUGGAGUCGCGGUCCUGCGGCAUGGACAUCAACUCGAUCCGAGAGUGAAGGAUGUAGACUGUUUAAUUAGUUUUGUUUUCCUCGCCCUCGCUUCUACCAUGAUUUUUCCCGUCAUGGACGGCCCAAAGAAUGUCAUGCAGCCGCGUCUCCGGCCUGCCCAGGACGAAAAACCCAUUUUCAUGGACCUAUCAUCUCAUUUUCGUCCUGUGAAAUCUCUGAUCCUAUUCUUUAUAUAUGCAACAUGGUCUAGCACGGUCUAUUAUGCUCUGUUACCGGCAGUAAUGUCAGUUGUUCUCUAGUAUUUGUCAUCGCAGUGCUCUCCUUCCUGUGGUUCCAUAUUUUGUAGCUGCAUCUUUGAUGUGUAUACGUUGUUGAUGUGUUGUCUUGGUAUAAGUAAAGCUGACUACUUCUGUUCUUUGUCGUCAAAUGAAGUCAUGAUAUGUUGUUAGCAACCUAGGACAGGAGGUAUUUGUUCAAGUUUGCAGUUCCAAGAUCCAUUGCUGAUGAAUAUGGAGUCAUUAAUAUGUAUUCUAUUUUCCAAGAAAUGCUUCACUUGUAAGUUAUGACACCAGUCACAGACAACACACUUAACAAUUUUCGCGUGUCCCCGAUUACAUUUGACAGGGUCGAUUCAAAAUCCUAUGCCUCUGUGGAUCAUACCUGGUGAUAGAUGACGGCGUUUCACGCACACAGAAUGGAGGUCUAUGCAUAGCGCUGUGUGGCGCUGAUCGCAGGGUGCACUGGUGGAAAAAGGGCCUUUGGUCGCGGUUCACAACUGCCAUUAGUCGCAGUUGCGCAACCGCGACCAAAUAGGCGCGACUAAAGGCCCCCCCUUUAGUCGCGGUUGCUUAAGAACCGCGACUAAAGGCCCGUCCACGUGGGCGCCAGUCGGCCGUCGGGGCGGAGGACCUUUAGUCGCGGUUCUUCUGGCCAACCGCGAGUAAAGGCCGCCGCAGGUUUAGGGUUUUAGCCCCCCCUAAACCUGUUUUCUGUUUAAUUUGUAUUGUUUUAUUUCUUUUGUGCUUUAUUUUAAUUUUGAAGGAGUUUCACAUAUUCUACGGUACUACAUACAUGCAUAUGAAUGUACAAUUUCAAACAAAUUUGAAAUUAGAACCAAAAAGAAUUCAAGAGGAAUAUACAAUAUAUAUUCAAUAUCAUCGGAUGACCAUAUACAAUUUUGAACAAGUUUCCAUACAUAAUUUAAUGCAUAUAAAGUUCUACGUCCUCGUAAUGGUGUUCUCCUUUAGGAUGGAGGACUUCCCUCCUGAACCAUCCAGCUAGUUCCUCUUGAAGUGGUCGGAAGCGAGCUUCUGGACUAAGCAUCAUCCGGAGGUUAUUCCUCUGAGCAUUGGUAUCACUCGGAACCCGCUCAGAGGUGUAUCUCCGGAUCAUCUCACAGACAUAGUAUGCACAUAGAUUGGUCCCCGCUGGCUGAAUAUCCUCACCAUUCUUAGCCUUUGACCUUUUGAAUUCUAGCUCUUUUUUGAAUUCACCGACCUUUGUAUCUACGAACCGUCUCCAAACCCUACGAGGCAAAGAAAAUUAAAUGAACAAGAGAGUUAUUAGUUACUUGAUAUUAGGAAAUGAACGAAAUAGGCCGAUCGAUAUAGAGCGCAAAUGAAUGAAAAUAAUUACUUCUGCAGCAUUCUUCUCAUGCCUCCCCAAAGCUUUGGAUCCUUAUUCAGAGAGUCGUGGACGAGACAUUCUGAGGUGUCAACUUUAAUUACUAGCAGAAUCCAGUGGAACCUGCGGACACGAUACAUGCACAGUACGUCAUGCAUAACUCAUCGAUUAGCCGGCCACAUACCAUGCAUGGAGUAAACAAAAGAGAAUGUGCUCAAGACAGAAACACUCACCCAAAAUGGUAAGGAAAUAGAAUAUCACUUUUGAGUUCCUGCUUUGUAAGAAACUGCCACAGGUCUGGCUCCAUGUCGGCGGGGUGAUGCUCCAACACAUAUCCAUUAACAAUGUGUGGGUCAAUGAACCCAACAUCAUGGAUGUUCCUUACUCUGCAUUCCUUAAUCUUCAUUCUGCAUGUAUAAUAGAGGACACAACAAUAUAGUUAGGACAUAUAUAUAGUGCAGGCAAUAUGAACGAGAUGGGGUAGAAAUAAAUCACUUACAGAACGUAGCAACUGAUGAUAGAUUUGUCGAGCUCGCGCAUAUUGAAAAGCUGGAACAAUUCACUCAGAUGAAUUUGUACAUAGUAAUGUUUGAAGUGAUUCUCAUAUCUAACUUCCGCAUAAAUAUAUUCUUUGGCGUUUUCAUUUUUUAUGUAACCCUUGUAGCAUUUCAGCAGACCUUUCAUUUGUGGAGGUAGAUCCUCUUCCUGCACAGGCUCGACGAGAGGCCCAUUCUUCACAUAUGUAAUUACUACCUCCUUCACUGGCGCCUCAUCAAGGCCUAACAGUUCACGAAGAGUAAUACCUAAGUUGGCCGCUUGUUCUCUGGCACUCGUUACAGUCAAUCCAUGUGCUGCCGCAGCUGCUAUGAUAUCGGGGUCAUCCGGACCAGCGGCUUUCACUAUAAGCGGGGCAAUCGAUUGUUUACUUUGUUCCCCGAGCUGGGCAACUCGUUUCCCGCUUUUUUUACUUUCUAAUUCCGUUUCCUCGGCCUCCUCCAAGGCUUUGUUCUCCUGGUUCUCCGCCCGCUCUUUCUUCUCCUUCAACAUGAGUGCCUGCCUACGAAGUUCACGUGCAUAGUCGUCAGGCAGAUUCUUCGCGGCUUGGGACGGUGUGCUCAAAAAUGACUUAGCCCACUUCUUUUGCUCAUCAGAAAAUACUGGCUUGGGCUCAGGCUCUCUUUUCUUCUUGCAGUCCGCCUUCCAUUUCUCAUGAUCAGCAGCCGCGGCCGCGGCAGUUUCCUCGGCACUACGUUCCCAAGGCCUUGUGGGGAGAGGCUUCAGUGAUGGCUCCGGUACCUUUGUGGUCUUAGGUACAUAAGGGUCCGGGUUAAUAAUCCAGGACUGCUUCUGCUUCUUUGCCGGAGGUGGAUUGGGGGGCGGCGUCUGAUCACCCGCCGGACGAGGACUGGGGGGCGGCGUCUGAUCACCCGCCGGACGUUGUGGACUAGGGGGCGUCGGCUGACGUGAUGGAGGUGUAGGUGAACCGCCACCACCGUAGGGGGGGUGGACUUGUUGUCCUUGGCGCCUCGCCUGGAAACUUGAUAAACUUCUUUUGCCAUAGAAUGAAAUGGCGCUUGACAUCUCCAAGUCUUUUCUCCCCUUCAGGUGUAGCAAUGUCAAUCUCCAGGUCCUCAAACCCUUGGACUAUGUCCUCCACCGUGACACGAGCAUAGCCAUCUUGAAUGGGGUUGUUGUGGUGGAGUGCUCCAGGUAAACAUGGUAAAGCACUGCCGAUGGCUACCUUCAUGGACAUGUUCCCGAUAGGAUAAUACAGAUGACAUUCUUUCAUCUCCUUUAUAUCGUCCACGGGGUAGCGAGGAGGCUCCGGUGCAGUAAUUUCGACCACCAGAGGCUCCGGUGCAGUAAUUUCGACCACCAGAGGCUCCGGUGCAGUAAUUUCGAUCGUUGGUGCAUCUGCACCAGCCGGUGGGGCCUCCGUGGAAGCCACACUGCUUCUUCGCUGCUGGCUUCUGAGAUCCGCUGGAUGAUCUUCAUGCUGCGCCCGAGCUGCAUCUCUUUCGGCUACUAGUACACUCACGGUUUUCUUCAUCACAUCCAUUUCCGAUGCCAACCGCACCACAACAUCUGCUUCCCGAUCCAUCUUUCUCUUCCGGCUUCUGUAACCGUACGGGUCAUCAUUCUGGGGGAACCCUAUUUUCCACGGAAUGUGCCCCAUGCCUCGUACACGUCCUCCGUGUUCAGGAUUCCCGAGGGCUUUUGUCAGCGCAUCGUUCUCUCUGUUGAACUUGAUCUUCCCCUCUUGAGCAUCCCUCAUUGCGUCAAUAAGGGCUUGGGUGGGUUUAAUUAUUUUGCCCGGUAAACACACUCCCCUGUCUCCGGGUUCAGCGUUCCCCCAUGCCCGUACCACCAGCUUUUGGCCCUUGGGUCCCAUCCCUCCGUACCUGGACGGAUUCCUCGCGCCCUCAGCUCGUUCUCCAUCUUCUCCCACCUAGGCUCCCAAAGGCGAUACCCUCCUGGCCCCAUAAUAUGAUUGUACUCCUUCUUAGCCGCAUUUUCCUUAUUUUUUUUCGAUAUUUGAAUGAACUGCUCCAAUUUCUUUUGCUUCACAAAUUCUGGCCAAUCAUGUUUCAGUUUCUCAUAUUGUCCUUUGAAAUCCGGAGUCUUGUUCUGCUUGACAAAGUCAUGGGCUAGAUUUUGCUUGAAUUUCCGGAAUGCGUCGGCCAUCUUAUGAAGAGCGAACUGUUUGACUAGCCUCCUCCUCUCCUUGUUUUCCUCAAUCUUGUUACCCUCCUCAUCGAAUUUGUUGUAUUCCGGAGGUAGAACGAAAUGUUCCAUAAGCUUCUUGAAGCAAUCUUUUUUUGUUCUCUUAUCGACAAAAGUGAAACCAGCAAUUCGUGCCUUCUUUGGCUUAUUCCACUCCUGGACGGUGAUCGAGACGUUGUCUCUAACAACGGCUCCGCAUUGGUUGACAAACUUGGUGGCGUUCUUGCGGGGCUCCAGCGGCCUGCCGGUUGCACUGUCGACAACCUCGAUGGUGCAUGUUUCUCCUUGUUUCAUCGUCUUGGUUGCGCCACGCUUUGACAACGUACUCGAUUGUUUCGACGAUCCGGCCGAGGGCUAAAAUAAGAAAGAGAGUCGCGCGCGUUAGUACACACAUAUUUAUUCAAAUCAGUUAGUUUGUAUCACCAGAGGCUCAAUGUAUAUAUAUACUUCAGCGCCGGAGGUGGUUGCUACUUCCAUUUGAAGAUCGUCGUUUAUCGACGUUUGUUCGGCAUCAUCUUGCUGACGGCGCCCUUCAUCUUCACCGUCAAGGUUCAGAUAAGAAGAGAUAUCAUCUUCUUCUUGUCCGGUCGGCACAUAUAGAAUAUCGCCGUUUAUGAUGCCAAACAUAUGUGCUUCACCGUCCGGAUCAUAGUUGUCCAUAAUCGGGUCAGCUCUAUCGUCCGCCAUUAUGUCAGUCCUGAAAACAUGUAGUAAAAACAAAUUAAUUAAGUGAAGAAGGGGGGUGGUGGCGGUGGCGGUGGCGAAAGGGCGGUGGCAAAAGGAGGGGGCGAGGAAGGGGUGGGAGAGGGUGUCGCGGUAGAGCGCGAGACGGGGCGGCAGACGACGGCGUCACGGAGAGGGAGGCGAGGACAACACACAUGUAUAACCCUCGCCGCCCCCUCUCGAUCCCAAAAAAAAACACCGCGCGCAUCGCCGCCCCCCUCGCCUCCCCCUCUCCGUAUAUGCGCGGGGUCGUGUACAUUUUUUUAAAGCGGGAUCGUUGUACAUUGACGCGCGGGGUCGUUGUAUAUAUUGAUUAUCAAGUUUUACUUUUUUUGUUGUUAAUUAUCAAGUUUUAUAUACGUUUUUUUGUUAAUUAUCAAAUUUUACGGUUUUUUUGUUAAUUAUCAAGUUUUAAGUUAUUUUACCGUUUUUGUUAAACUAAUUAACUAGUUAAAAUUAAAAAGAACAAAAAAAAAGAAAAAAAAGAAAAAAUUCCGGUGGCCUGCGGCGCCCCUCUCUCUCUCCACGAUCUCGCUCUCUGUCUGAGACCGGUGGCCCGUGCGCGCGCGGCAGUACGGAGGCCGGCCGACNNNNNNNNNNNNNNNNNNNNNNNNNNNNNNNNNNNNNNNNNNNNNNNNNNNNNNNNNNNNNNNNNNNNNNNNNNNNNNNNNNNNNNNNNNNNNNNNNNNNNNNNNNNNNNNNNNNNNNNNNNNNNNNNNNNNNNNNNNNNNNNNNNNNNNNNNNNNNNNNNNNNNNNNNNNNNNNNNNNNNNNNNNNNNNNNNNNNNNNNNNNNNNNNNNNNNNNNNNNNNNNNNNNNNNNNNNNNNNNNNNNNNNNNNNNNNNNNNNNNNNNNNNNNNNNNNNNNNNNNNNNNNNNNNNNNNNNNNNNNNNNNNNNNNNNNNNNNNNNNNNNNNNNNNNNNNNNNNNNNNNNNNNNNNNNNNNNNNNNNNNNAGGGCGACGGCGGGCGGCGUCGAGGGCGACGGCGGGCGGCGUCGAGGGCGAGGGCGACGGCGGCAGGCCUUCGGCGCGGUGUUGAAUCGGAGAAGACGAGAAAGGGUUCGGGCCCUUGUAUUUAUAUCCCCCCCUUUAGUCGCGGUUGGGGAGGCGACCCGCGACUAAAGGGUAACCUUUAGUCGUGGUUGGGGAGGCCAUAUCAAAUACCUCAGCACCAGUGCGUUCUGCAGGCUUCGGCCGGUGAUCUGCCUUGCCGUUGUAAUGCUUGCCUUUCUUUCUUACUGGAUGAAUUUUCGGAAGAAAUCGACGAUGCCCAAGGUACACGUUCUUCUUACAAUUUGGCAAAUGUACACUUUCAGUCUCAUGUAAGCAGCGCGUGCAUGCAUUGUAUCCCUUAUUUGACAGUCCCGAAAGGUUACUAAGAGCAGGCCAAUCGUUGAUGGUUACGAAAGGCAACGCUCGUAGGUUAAAUUCCUCUUUUUUGUGCUCAUCCCACACACGGACACCAGGUCUGCCCCACAGCUGUAAAAGUUCAUCAACUAAUGGCCUUAGGUACACAUCGAUGUCGUUGCCGGGUUGCUUCGGACCUUGGAUGAGCACUGGCAUCAUAAUGAACUUCCGCUUCAUGCACAACCAAGGAGGAAGGUUGUAGAUGCAUAGAGUCAUGGGCCAGGUGCUAUGGCUGGAGCUCUGGUCGCCAAAAGGAUUCAUGCCAUCUGUACUUAGACCAAAUCUUAUGUUCCUUGCGUCAGCUGCAAAAUCUUUGAACUCUCUGUCGAUCUUUCUCCAUUGCGUUCCAUCUGCGGUGUGUCUCAACUCCCCGUCCGACUUACGGUCCUCUUUGUGCCAUCGCAACAACUUGGCAUGCUCUUUGUUCCUGAACAGACGUUUCGACCGUGGUAUUAUAGGAGCAUACCACAUCACCUUGGCGGGAACCCUCUUCCUGGGUUUCUCGCCCUCAACAUCGUCACCAGGGUCAUCGCCUCUGAUCUUAUAACGCAAUGCAGUGCAUACCGGGCAUUCAUUCAAAUUCUCGUAUUCACCGCGGUAGAGGAUGCAGUCGUUGAUGCAUGCAUGUAUCUUCAGAACCUCUAAACCUAGAGGGCAGACAACCUUCUUUGCUUCGUACGUACUGGCGGGCAACUCGUUAUUCUUUGGAAACAUAUUCUUCAACAUUUUCAGCAAGUUUUCAAAUGCCGAGUCAGCUACACCUGCCCGUGCCUUCCAUUUCAGCAAAUCCAGUGUGCAGCCCAGCUUUUUCAGACCAUCAUCGCAUCCGGGGUACAACGACUUUCUGUGAUCCUCUAACAUGCGAUCCAAAUUCUCCCUCUCCUUUUCAGUUUCGCAGCGUCUUCGUGCAUCAGCAAUGGUCCGACCAAGAUCAUCAACGGUCUCAUCACGUGCCUCUUCUUCACCUUCACCUUCCCCUUCACCUUCCCCUUCACCUUCAGCAUCCUCCAUGAAAGUAUCACCGAAAUGAGCAAGAUAGCUUUCAUCGAUGAAAUCAUCCCCUUCUUCAUCUUCUUCCAUUAUAACCCCUCUUUCUCCAUGCUUGGUCCAACAAUUAUAGCUUGGCAUGAAACCGUGCCGAAGCAGGUGCAGGUGAACUUCUCUUGAGGAAGAGUAACCCUUCUGAUUCUUACAGUCAACACAUGGACAGAUAACAAAACCCUUCUGCUUGUUCGCAUUAGCCACUACGAGGAAAUCUUUCAAACCCGUAGUGAACUCGCGGGAGAGUCGGUUACCGUACAUCCAUUGCCGAUUCAUCUGCAUUAUUAUAAUAUACAAUAUAUAAUUAACUAUCAUGCAUUUGUUAAACUAACUAGCUAUAAACAAUAGAAAUUAAACAAUGAACAACACACAUGCAUAUUUUAUCAAUGACACACAUGCAUGAAAGGUUCGAGUUGCUAACCGCGAUCGAGGAGGAAAAAAUAAAUGAGGAACCUCAAGUGUGGCUCCAACACUUCAUAUCAUGUUUGUUUCACCCUCUUGGGGCAUUUCAUCAAACACCUUGUGUGCAUAAGAGGAACCAAAAGCAAACCUACACCCCCUUGUGAAGCUUGUGAAGAGAAGUGGCACCAAAUGGCUAAGUGAGCGUGCUGAACUGGUAUAUAUAGGGGAGGAGCUUUAGUCGCGGUUGGCCUGGCCAACCGCGACUAAAGGCCUUUGGGCACCUUUAGUCGCGGUUGGCCUGGCCAACCGCGACUAAAGCCCCUCACGUGCACCAGCUGGCCACCGAGCGCCCUGGGCCCAGGCCUUUGGUCGCGGUUCGUCUGCCGAACCGCGACUAAAGACUUCAUUAGUCGCGGUUCCUACAGUUUUGCGACUAAUGGGGCUGGACGGAAGCCUCUUUUUCUACCAGUGGCGAUUGGAGGAAGCAUUGGUGGAGUCCUGACAGCAGCCGGGACAGUUCAGGUGAUCACUCGCUUCUUUUUUUUUCACUGAAACAUCAUCAUUUAAUUAAUUAAUCCUUGGUCUAUUGUGUUCCAGAAAUGAAUGAUGAGGUGAUUGUGCGUGUUGGUGCAGGUGAUUGUGGGGAGCUUCAUGUACGCGGGGUCGAAGAAGAGCAGGAAGGGCAAGGCCGGGCAGGAGUCUGCCGCGGCGGAGGAAGAACAGACCGGCGAUGCGAACGGGGGCUGGGGCAGGGGCGAAGAUGGAGUUGGAGGCGAGGCAUAGGAAGAGGGGCCUUCGCCGCUGAUGCCGAUGCCCCACGGAGAGGAGGAGCUGCCGUCAGACGCGAUGAUGAGCGGGUGGACGGGCAUGAUGCGGCAGAUGGAGUCGCGGUCCUGUGGCAUCGACAUCAACUCUAUCCGAGAGUGAAGGAUGUAGACUGUUUAAUUAGUUUGGUACGGCGGAAGUUGAGCCUAGUCUAGCUUAGCUAGUGGAUGAUGGAUGAUUCUAGGGUUUGGUUGGGUUGGUUGUGUUCCUCUCCUGCGUGGGUGUAAAAAGAAGUCUAGUUAGUAUAAUGAAUGUCAUCGUUGAGUAUGAUCAGUUUAACCGAUGAUGUUGGCGCCGGUCGGUCGGGCGGAUCUAUGAUGGAAAUAGUGGAUUCGGUUGUUGGUUGAUGGUCUGGUCUGGUAUGGUAUGGUAUGGUAUGAUGUAGUUAUAGGCAGCAGCAAUGAGCAACUUGUUUGUAGCUAGUCUCUUUCUUGGUUGCAGACAGACAGACAGACA
Molecule: long non-coding RNA, 48429 nt
Filed under: Triticum aestivum (bread wheat)
Lineage: Eukaryota; Viridiplantae; Streptophyta; Magnoliopsida; Poales; Poaceae
Description: long non-coding RNA (TAES_LNC017231)
Source: RNAcentral